CUUUGAGAACUCUGAUUCAUUUUGGAAAUUUCCCAUGGGCAAAGACCAACCUGCAAGACCAAGGUUUAAACCUGUCUUGAGAGAUCCCCAGUCUUAUGACGAUCAAAAUGUUUGGGGACCAGUUGAUAUGUGACAACACUCAAAUUCUUGAUUGUCUUCAGUGCUCUGCUGUUGUAUCAACAUUUAUCUAAGCCCUUGUAUAUUUAGCCACUUCACUGAUAUUCCAAGCAUUUACUUCUAUUUUUUGGGUGGAAAAUUUGAAACUAAAGACCAUUAUUGAUGUGUAAUUUUAUUUUAGAAACUUUGCGAAUAAUCAAAUUGGCUUCAUUAAAUUUGAAAAUUCCACUAAGGAUGUUUUGUAGUAGCUUCUAUGUGAUGGGUUCCAUUGAAGAGGCACAUCUUUGGAUAUUUUUCCAUUUUCCUUAUUCUCGUUUCUUGAUCUACUUGAUAACCUCUUAAGUUUAGGGCAUUUCAUUUAAAAUGCUCGGCCAGAUAGGGAUUCAGUUUAUGGCAUAGGAUGAAAAGGCUCAUAGCUUCUCUGUACAUCCCCAAUAUCUAAGAGACCAUUUUGUCCUUAAAAAAUAUAUUUUGGAUUCUACAAUCCAGAAAUAUAUUUUUUCUAUUUACUAUUUUCAGAUUCAAUGAUUUAAAAUAUUUUUUUUAAAGAAAUAUAUUAUGGAUUACAAAAUUUUGAAGGUAUUCCGGAUCUGAAAUUAUCUUCUGAAUUUUGUAAUCCAAAAAUACCUUCUCAUUCCAUAAUUCAUGAGUUCUAGUGAUCACUCAUUUCAAAAUAAAAAACAUCAACAAAAUAAAAGGUAUUCUUAGUAUUUUAAGAAGUAUGGAAUUCCACAAGUUAUGGAAGUGCAGAAGAAAAAAAAAGAUUUUAAAUGCAUGUUUUAUUUUUGGGGAAAAUGGAGAUGUAUUGUGUUUGUGUUGUCCAUCGAUUUAGUACUUUCUUAACCAAAUAAGCAACAAGAGGGCAAAAAUUACUCCAUGAAUGCUUGGCUUUCAUUGAACCACUUAUUUCAACAAUAAGGCUAUCUUACUUUAUUUAAUGAUUUUUUGUAAAAUUAAAUUUCAUUAACUCAAUUUUUUUUAAUCAAAUACAUUAAGUCUACAAUUUUUUAUACAAUUUAAAAAUAUUAAAUAUUUAUCACUUAAUUUUACUUUAAUGUAUUAUAUACAAGCGCAAAUCAUUUAAUUUACAUGAGCAUGAAGGUGCAAUAUGCCGUUAUUUUAUAUUAUAUUUAUUAAAUUUGUGUUAAGUAAACUAAGUAUUAAAUAAUUAUUUAAAAAAAGAGUGCUUUCAUUUUCACACCCAUACAGACAGCUACAGGGUACAUAAUCAAUUACAUGAAAGGAUUUGACCAAAACAAUCGAAUACAUAAAAAAAUUUAACAAUUUUUUUCAGUAUCAAUCCACGAACUAUUUUUUUUUUGGUAUUUGAAUUUUAGACUUUAAGUUAGAUAGACAUGUUAGAAAACAAAUAUAGAGGAAAAUCAAAGAAUAGCUAGCUAAUAAUGUCACAUAUAUACCUACAUAUUAUUAUAAAUUUUCUUUUACAUAAAUUUAUUCCUAUUUUAUUCUUAUUAAUAUCUUAUUUUAUUAAUUUGUUUUGGUUAUUUUGUCAUUUUGUAAUUUCAACGGUUAACAAUAUAAUUUUUUAGUUUUAAAAAUUUAUUUUAUUUAUUGUCACUUAAAGGUUGUUAGGUAUGCAUCAUGUUAUUUGAAAAGAGUGGAGAAAUUGGUAUGUUGUUGUGUUAGACUCAUUUUUUUCAAUUGUCAUUAUAUAGUUAUGAAUAUUCUAUUUUAUUUUAUUAAUUUAUUUUAGUUAUUUUGCAAUUUCAACCGUUAACAAAGCAGUUUUUUAGUUUUCAAAAUUUAUUUUAUUUAUUGUCACUUACCGUUGUUAAUUGUGGACCACAAAACAAUUUGAUUUUGAGUUUUGACUCGUUUGUUUUGGAAACUGUUUUUCUUCUCUAUUUUUAAAUUGUUUUUAAACUAUAUAACUAUUAUGUUGAUUAUGUUUCCUUCCUAAUAUAACAAAGGUGCACUUAGAUAAUUUACGUGUCUUCUUAUAUAUAUUUAUAUUUAUUAAAAUGUACUAUAAAUUUAUAUUGUUAAUAUAAAUAUGUGAAUAAUAACAUUGUUUAUUCGAAUUUUAAUAUUAAACAAAAAAUGUGAAACCAAACGCUCUUGCGUUUGUGUUCCCGUUCUCGCUAGUUUAAAUAAUGUCAAAAUAAAAUAAACUAAACUUAUUUCAAUUUAACCUUGAAACUUAGAUACAUUGUAUUAUUUCAAACAAACAAAAAUUACUUAUUUACCCAUUUUAGAAGUUACAUACAUCAUAUUAAUUGUGUAAAUUGAUAAAAUCCUUUUACAUUGGGCCACCAUAGUUGGGCUUUUGUUUCUGUUUGUCAUCUAUGUUUUGCUAUUUGACAUAUACAUAUAAAUACUCUUAUGAAUCCAAUAAUACUCAGUUUUCCGUGCCAUUGAUUUGCAAUUCAGAUUUCCACUUUGUUUUUCUCUUUGUUCUUUCUCCUUUACCUUGUUUAGGGUUUCCUCAUCUGUUGAUUGGUUUCUUGGUUGAUUGUUAUUUCUUCACUAUGAUGGUUGAUCGCAUUAUGGUAUCAGAGCUCUUUAAUUGAAGAGCUUUGUUGCGCACUCCGAAAUCUUGUUUUCUUCUUUCUUAUUCUUGAAUCCUUUCUAUGGGUUUUCUUUGCAGUAAUGGCGGAAGAAUGCGUCGCUUCGUCGUCUCCGUCUCAAGCCGAUCCGGCGAAUAGUUACCUCUACCUUCAUCCUAGUGAGAACCCCUUUGCACCGCUCGUCUCACCGGUGUUGGACGCUUCCAAUUACCACUCCUGGAGUCGCUCGAUCUUGAUGACACUAAAUGCUAAAAACAAAGUGGAGUUCGUUCUUGGAACGCAUCCUUGCCCAAAAAAAGAUCAUCAUAAUUUCUCAUCCUGGAACAGAUGCAAUAAUAUGGUAGUCUCAUGGUUAGUACACUCUGUCUCCCUCCCUAUUCGGCAAAGCAUUAUCUGGAUGGAUGUUGCCCUAGACAUCUAGAAUGAUUUAAAAACCAAAUACUCUCAGGGUGACCUAUCUAGGAUUUCUAAUCUUCAACUAGAAGUAGCCUCUUUAAACCAGGGGGAUUUAUCUGUGACUGAGUAUUUUACAAAAUUAAGGAUAAUUUGGAACGAGUUGGAUAAUUUUAGGCCUAUCCCCAUAUGCACAUGUUCUGUAAAAUAUUCUUACUCGGUCAAUUCUAUCAUAAGUCAAAGAAAAUAUGAAGAUCAUGCUAUGCAAUUUUUGAGAGGGUUAAAUGAUCAGUACAAUAACAUUAGAUCACACGUUUUACUCAUGGAACCAAUUCCACCUAUAUCAAAGUUUUUUCUCUUGUUGCCCAACAAGAAAGGAAAUUAACAAAUAACAUCUCUGUUAGCAUCUCUAGUAUUAACAAUGCUAAUUCCACUAGGACGUCCUCAUCUACACUGUGCACUUUUUGUGGUAAGCAUGGGCAUACUGAAAAUGUUUGUUUUAAAAAGGUUGGGUUCCCUAAUCAAGACAAUAGGAACUCAAAAUCCAACACUAGAAAGGUUUGCACGCACUGUAACAGGAAUUGUCACACUGUGGAUACCUGUUACAAGAAACAUGGCUACCCUCCUGGGUACAAAUUCUAUAACAACAAUAGGACUAGUCGGAUUAAUAGUCUUGUUACUACUUAUAGAGUUUUCUUUGAGCCUUGUCCAAAAGAACAUGAAAAACGUGAUUACCAUCUAACUGCUCAUCAACUUCAAAUUCUCAAUGAUGUUUUGAGGCAGAAUCAAGUGAAUCAAGUGGGCUCCUUCUCUGCAAACCCCAACGCACAUGAGUCGUCUUCAACGAGUAAACACUCCUUUACCUCUUUAAAUCAUUGUCAUAAUUCCUGGAUUGUUGAUUUUGGUGCCACUGAUCACGUUUGUAUUGUCUUAUCUGCUUUCACCUCUUGUCAAACUAUUAAACUUGUCCUGAUCAAUUUACCAAAUGGCCAACAUGCUUUUGCAAACUAUUAUGGGACAAUUGUUUUUACAAAUAAACUUUAUCUUCUUGAUGUGUUGUACAUCCCUCAAUUUACAUGCAAUCUUAUAUCUGUUUCUAAAUUGUCUCUACACUUAAAAUGUACCUUGAUCUUUUACCCCACACAUUGUCUUAUACAGGACAACCUCUCCAAAAAGCAUAUUGGCUGGCUUGUUCAUCUUUAACUCUUCUAUUUUUCACACUGCCACACACAAUUUUAUUCCUUUUGUCUCUUACACUGUUAAGGAAAAUAAUUUAUGGCAUUGUAGAAUGGGGCAUCCCUCUGAUGAAAGGUUGCAUGUCUUGAAAAGUCAAUACCCUUUUGUUUCUGCUGAUAAAACUCAUAUGUGUGAUAUUUGUAAUCGUGCAAAACAAAGAAAACUUCCAUUUACUCUAAGCACUUCUCACACUACUGCUAUCUUUGACAUCAUUCAUGUUGAUAUUUGAGGACCCUAUUCUGCUACAUCUAUGCAAGGUUUUCGUUAUUUUUUUAAUAUUGUGGAUGAUUUUUCUCGUUAUACAUGGACUAUAUUGUUGCAUGCUAAAUUUGAAGUUCGCACCCAUCUCAUAAACUUUUUUGCUUAUGCUGAAAAUCAAUUUAAAACUAACAUCAAAUGCAUUUGUUCUGAUAAUGGCGCUGAAUUUUCCAUAAAAACCUUUAUUGCUUCCAAAGGCACAGUUCAUCAAACUACUUGCAUAGAAACACCUAAGCAAAAUGGUAUAGUUGAAUGUAAACACCAACACAUUUUAAACAUGACUUGCGCUUUACUGUUUCAAGCAAAUUUACCUCAUAUUUUUUGGGACUUCGCUGUCCAACAUGUUGUUUUCCUCAUAAAUUGCACAUAUACUACACAUACUCCCCUUUUACAAGAUAUUGCUCCAUAUGAAAAAAAAAUUUCGAAAACCUUGUGAUAUCUCUUCCUUACGUGUUUUUGGCUGCUCUUAUUAUUCUACUACCAUUCAUGCUAAUCGAAAGAAAUUAGAUACUAGGUUUGUUCAUGGCAUCUUUCUCGGUUUUCCACAUAAUACCAAAGGUUACAUUAUCUUAAAUUUAAAGUAUCAUCGCAUUGAAAUUUCAAGACAUGUGAUAUUUCAUGAACAUCAUUUUCCAUAUAAAUUGAAUCAUGAUGACACACAGGGCCCCGACACUUUAUCUUUACCCAUUCCUGCUGACUAUAAUACAUUCUAUGAUGAUAUCUUGUUUGAUUAUAACUGUCAAAAUCAUGAGCACGAGACUCCCAUCACUCACAAUGAAGACAACAUCAUUCCACCUAGAUGCUCCAGUAGACAAAGACGACUCCCUUCCUAUUUAGAGGACUUCCAGACCUGUUUACCCGCUGCCAACACUGUAAGUAAUCGGUAUCCCAUUCAUAAAUUUCUUUCCUAUAAUGUUCUCUCACCCUCUUUCAAAAAGACUAUUUUUUUCUAUAUCUUCUAACAAUGAACCCAACUCCUAAACCGAGGCUUCUAAGCAUUCUUGCUGGAAACAAGCAAUGCAAGAAGAGCUUAAUGUUCUUAAUGCUAACAAUACAUGGCAGAUCACUACUCUCCCUCCAGGAAAGAAAACCAUUGGUUGCGAAUGAAUUUUUAAGGUAAAACACAAAUCUGAUGGCACCAUUGAUCGCCACAAAGCACGAUUGGUAGCAAAAGGCUACACACAAUUAGAAGGUCUUGACUUCUUAGAUACUUUUGCUCCUGUAGCAAAACUAACCACUUUAAGACUUUUACUUGUUGUUGCUACUUCUCAAAACUGGAUUCUUAAACAACCUGAUGUGAAUAAUGCCUUCCUCCAUGGUGACCUCCUUGAGGAAGUCUACAUGCAACCACCGCCAGGCUUCAAACUUCCAUCUCCUCAACAUGUCUGCAAAUUACAAAGAUCACUUUAUGGCCUUCGCCAGGUCGACCGUCAAUGGUAUGCAAAACUGUCUCAAUUUUUACUUUCAAAUAACUACAUUUUAUCCUCUGCUAAUUGUUGAACAAGAUGCUUUGAUGUCUCCAAAUCCAAGAGGAAAGCUUGAAGACCUUGCUGCUAGGUGUGUGUGUGUUGUCUAGUUGUUUGAAACUUGUUAAUUCACUCCUUAAUUUGAUCCAAGUUCAUUUGAAUCUUUAACCUUUUGAAAAGAUGAGUUUUCUAAAAAGCUAUAAAAAAUUCAACAGGUUGUUUUGCCUUAGCUGUUUUUGAAAAACUUGGUUGACUUUGCUGUCAAACCAAAACAAUCGAUUGUUUCGACAAAACAACCGAUUGUUUUCCUGAAAACCUUAACAGAAUUCUGUUAAGCGGUUUUAAUAUGUUUUAAAUGAUCCUAACUAACUUGGCUCCUUUAUUAAAUGCUUUUGACCACUUGGUUGGUCUAUAUAAAGGUAGUUUUACGCUCCUAAUCUUGAAGUAACAGAAAGAGUUUAUCAAAACAGUUUUUCCAAGAUUUGAAAAGAGCUUUGGAUCAUUCUUAAGUGUGUGGAAUAGGAUUGGGUUGUAAUUCUGAUCUUUAAGCUUUGUAAUACCCAGGUGUAUUCUAUUCCCUUCUUCCUUGAUUACUGUAUUUCUGUAGUUGUGUUGCCAAGGAGUGUUGUGUGUUCUUGAGGGGUUCAAGAUCAACAUUCUUGGUGUGGUUUGCCAAAGGUAGUGUGUUUCUUGAGGGGUUCAAGGUCACUACUUUGGUGUGUGGUGUUUGUAAUCUGGUUUUGAUUGCAUAGUGGAAUACCCAGUGGUUUCUAGGGACUGGAUGUAGCUCUUGGUGUAAGAGCGAACCAGUAUAAAUUGCUUGCAUGCUUAUCUCUUACCCUUAACCCUUUAAAUUCUGUUUUUAAGUUGUUUUUAUAAACUGCUGAUAAAAACAACCGAUUGUUUUUUUGAUAUCAUCUUGAAACAAUUUUGGUUCUUUGUUUCUUUGAUUUCUUUCUCUGUCAUUCAGCAUUGAUUUUCAUUAUACCUUCAAAGUUUGCGAAAAUCCCUCUUAAACAAAUCACCCCCCUCUCGUUUAAGGCCAUAUAUUCUAACACUAAUCACUCUCUCUUUUUAAACCAUAAUGGACCUAACAUAACCAUUAUUCUUGUGUAUGUUGAUGAUUUGGUGAUGAUCAUGAGGAAAUUACCAACAUCACCUCUUUGUUGGACAUUCAAUUCAAAAUCAAGAAUCUAGGAGACCUCACUUAUUUUUUGGGCCUGGAGGUUGCCAGAAACAGCCAAGGGCUCCACAUCUGUCAACGAAAAUACGUGCUGGACCUUCUUCAUGACACUGGCAUGAUCAACUCUGCUCCUAUGUCUACACCCAUGGUUCACUCAUCUCGGCUUUCCUCCUCCUAUGGUACAAGACUCACUGACAUUGAAACCUCUGCAUAUAGAAGACUCAUUGACAAGCUCAAUACCUCACCAACACACGGCCUGACAUUACCUUUGUUGUCAACAACCUAAGCAGUUUAUUUCCUCUCUUACCAAUCUCCAUCAACAAGCUGCUUUUCGCCUUCUUCGGUACUUGAAAGGCAACCCUGAGAAUAGCAUUUUCUUUCACAGCAACAACACUCUCCAACUUCGUAGUUUCAAUGACUCAGAUUGGGCUACUUAUCCUGAAACCCGAAAAUCUGUAACUGGUUACUCCAUCUUCUUGGGUGAUUCUCUUGUCUCAUGGAAAUCCAAGAAACAAAAAACCAUUUCCAAGAGUUCUUCUGAAGCAGAAUAUAGAGCCUUAGCCACAACCACCUGUGAGAUUCAAUGGCUAACCUACAUCCUUCAAGACCUUGGACAUCCCUAUAUCCAACCAGCAACCAUCUACCGUGACAACCAAUCUGCAAUACACAUUGCUUCAAAUCAAGUCUUUCAUGAGCGCACCAAACACAUUGAGAUUGACUGUCACAUCGUUCGAGACAAGAUUAAUGAUGACCUUCUCAAGUUGCUUUCCAUCUCUUCCUCUAUGCAGAUUGCAGACAUCCUUACCAAAACUCUUGCUCCUACAAUACAUAAAGAGCUCCAGUCCAAACUGGUCGGGGGAUGAUAAAAUUCUUGGGCCACCAUCAUUGGGCUUUUGGUUUUUUGUUUGUCAUCUAUGUUUUGCUAUUUGACAAGUACAUAUAAAUACUCUUAUAAAUCCAAUAAUAUUCAGUUUUUUUCCAUUGAUUUGCUAUUCAGAUUUCCACUUUAUUUUUUCUCUUUGUUUUUUCUCCUUUACCUUGUUUAGGAUUUUCUCAUCUGUUCGAUUGAUUUCUUGAAUGAUUGUUAUUUCUUCACUAUAUGGUUGAUCGCAUUAUAAAUAUUUAUUAUAAAACUGUUUUUGAAAAUAUGUUUAAAAUUUUCAAUAAUGUUAUAGACUCUUGAACUUUACAAAAUAAUUCUCAAGAAACCAAUAAAGUUAUUGGGAAUGUAAAUUUGAGAAUAAGAAUUUAGGAAUAUGAUAUUUUCUUGCUUGUUAUAAGAUUAUUCUUAGAAAAAUAAUUAAGUUGCGAAAAAGUUAUAUUCUAAUGAUUUUUUUUCAAUCUAAUUAUGAUUUUCAUUUAUAUCCUUACCUAUUCUGAGAUCCCAUGUUUGCUUUAGCAAAAUAUUAUUUUUUAAAUAUAAUAAAAAUUACAAUUUUAAGUUAUAUUGAGUUAAUUAUUUAAUUAUUGCUUUAAAUCUCAUUAAUUUUUAAUUUUUUCUAACUUUUUCUAAUUUUCUGAAAAUAAUUUUGAUGUUUUUUAAUUAAAGUGCCGACGUGUUUAAAUUAUAUAAAUUAAGAUUGGUGACAAAUUUAUUACUCUUUUAUAUAUAUAUAUAUAUAUAUUAUAUGCAUAUGAGUAAUUUAUAAUAGGAUAGAUAUGAUUGUAUAUUAUUAUUAUUAUUAGUGAUUUAAAUUAAGGUCAGGAUUCACUGUAAAUAAAAAAAAAAUAUGAUUUCACUUAAUAAUAGAAAUAAAGAUAUCUUUUUCUCUUUCUUUUUUUUUUUCUUUCUUUCUUCCUUCUUUCUCUAUUUCUUAAAAAUAUAUAAAAUUGUUUCUUAACAUUAAUUUAAAACAAUAAAAAAAAAAUAUUUUUAAGUGAUUCAUAUAAAAUGAGAAAAUGUUUCUUCUCAUAAUUUUAAAAAUUAAAAGAUAAAAUAAGAUAUAGGAAAAAAUGUAUAUACACCAAUUAUAAGGAAAAAAUUAUCUUUAUGAAGGAAUAUAUUAUAGUUUAUUUAUUAUUUAUUAUUUACGUGGAACUUGUUUUGAUUACAUGAGAUGUACGUGCAUAACAAAAAUAGUUUGUAAGAAAAUAUCUCUUAAAAAGUUAAAGUAAAAACAGAUGUGUAAAGAGAAGAAGAAGAAAAACCGUGUUUGUUUAAAAUAACAAUUUCUUGUUAGUGAAAAGAAUAACUUUUGGGUACACGUUUUGUAGCAGUGGUUGAAUUUUACGAAAAUUUAUAAAUUUUGAUGAAUGUGAAUUUUUAGAAAGAAAGAUAUUUUUGGCUGAGUUUAAGAUACUUCUCGUGAUUCAACAAGAUAAUAAUGCGAGGAGAGGAAAAGUGAGAAAGGAUCUUGUCUUUUUUCUUGCUGGUUUUUUAUUUGAUUUUUUUCCCUCACAACAAAGAAUAGAUUUGAGAAGAAGAAAUUAACUACAUCGAUAUCAAAUCCAAACAAUACCCAGUGCAGUGUUGCAGUGCGCCACUGAACACAGACAAAAAUCAUGAACUGUCUUCACAAUCUUUCUCGGUUCGUUUAUCCUUCUCCUUUUCAAUUCUUCCUAUUCUUAUCCACAUCCAAAGAAUCAGAUUCCUCAAUUUUCAGAUUCUCUCUUUUACCCUUCGAAACGGUUGCCACGCGCCACCGCAACAACCUUCCCCUGUCCCUGGUACACUCCAUUUUCCCUUUUAUUUCGUUAGUACUUCUCUACAAUUAUAUUUCUCUUUCUCUCUCACACCUUCUCUUUUUUUUUCAACGCUCGAUACAGCGAAUCGUCACUAAUUCUCAUCAUAAUCGAAGUAUGGCGCUCAAGGUAGCUACACUCUUUGUUUUUCCUUCCUUUAGUUUCUUUUUAAUAUUAAUGGUGUUUUGCUAGUGCUAUGAUAUUGGUUUUGUAGUCUUUUCAAGUUCAAUCUAUUUAAAGAUCUUAGUGUUGGAAAUUUCGCGUCAACUAGUGAUAUGUCCUAUUCAAGUAUACAAGUGGGAAGCUAUCAUCUGAUCAUGUUUUGACAAACUUCUUCCUAACAACUUUUACAAGAAAAAGUGAAAUGAUUUUUUUGAAUUAGUUUAUGUAUAAUUUGUAGAAGCUGUUAUAACUUUUCUAAAGUCUUACUUUUUAGCCUAUGCACAAGUUAAUUUUAAUCUUUUGGAAAUCCUCAUGAAGAAGUUUGUCUAAAUAAUCUUAAGUCCCUUUUGUGCAACCAGUGAUAAGACCUGAUUGAACUAUGUAUGUGAGAAGUUAUACUCAUAUCAUAAGUCGGUUAUGUAGGAUUGAAUUUGUUCCAACCUAAAUGCUAAGACUUGGAAUAAUAUCGCAUUUUGUCAACGUCCAUUAAAUAAGAUAAUAUUGUUGGAUUUUGGUUGCUCAAUACCAUUCAUGGUGUUGAAGCUGAUUCAGUUUUUGUGAGGAUUACACUCUGAGCUUAUGUAAUGGAAUAAUUAGACAACAUUUGAAGGCGUGGAAACCGUGGCAUGUUCACGGCAUAUUCUGGAAUCUACCAGAAUUGAUGAUGGUGUUGUCAUUUGAAAGUUGUAAGAUUUGUCAUUUUGGUGUGUGCCCGCGAGCAAAUUUAAAUGAAAAGAAAACAAGGAGAUAUUGCUGUAGAAGUAACUAUAAAAUCCUAAAAAGAUGAACACCGUUUGUUAUUUAUAUGCCGUGCCCUGUGAAAUAUUCAUCAUCAUUUAGGCUUGUCUGUUUAAGUGGACUUAUCUGCUAUUCAUGUCAUUUCUGCUUCAUAUUUCCUUUGUUUUAUAGAGAACUUGAUUGACAUUUUCUUUUGCAGGCUGCUUCAGGUUCUGUACCAAGUGCAGACAAAAGUAGUGCGAACAAGGAAGAGGAGAAGUCUGAGACAUAUUCUCAUAACAUGACAGAAGCCAUGGGUGUUGGUAUGUUUACUAUUUUUGUUCUUCUAGUUCAACAAUGAUGCAGUCUUAUCCUGCUAGAUAGACUUGGCUAAACAUCAUUUAGGCCCUAACAAAAACCUAAAUUUCAGUAUAGACCAAGGUCUUGUUUUAAUUGCUUCUCCUAAGUUUUCUUCAGUGUUUGUUUGCCCCUUUGAAUCAGAAUAUCUUCCAUUUGAUCUACUUUUCUCACAUUUGUUGGUCUUUUCCUACUUUGUGGUUACUGAUUAGUAAAAGACAUGGAAUACAAUUUGGGGGAAACUGAGAGUAUCUUGAACUUGAAGCUCCCUGUUCAAUUGUAAUUUCUUUUUCAGAAAGCUGUGUUGAAAUAUUUCAAAUUAUGGUGAUAAACCUCCAUUAUGUUUACUGCAACCAAUUCUAACAUUCUUAGGUUUUGUAAUAUUCAUAUUCAGGUAAUAGUUUGGAUUAACUAUAGGAGCACUCAUUUGCCCAUUCUAUCAUUUUUUUCUUUGAAUAAUUCAUGUUGUUAACCUUUCUAACAAAUGCUACUCAGUUUUGUCUUAUAAGCAUGAGUUAGGAAUGAACUAUAACUUCAUCCGUCCAGACUUAAUUGUGGGAUCAUGCCCACAGGUAUUUUUGUUUCAAUUAUGGAUACCUGAGCCAAUUAUGUCAAAUUUUGUUUGGUCCUCUGACUUCUAUUAUUAUUAUUAUUAUCUUUUUCAAAUUGCCAGACUCCUGACGAUGUUGAGAAGUUGCGUAGAAUUGGAGUGAAAACUAUAUUUUGCUUACAACAAGAUUCGGACCUUGAGUAUCCUAAUCAAUUUGUUUAAUUAGAUGCACUUUCUGCAUUUUAGACAAAGACCAACAACUAUUUAGUCUAGCAAAUGAACAAUUGUGUUUCCUUACAACUGCUUGGAUAUUUUGGAGUUGAUAUUAAGGCCAUAGGAGAAUAUGCCAAGACACAUGAUGUUCAACACUUGCGUGCUGAGAUAAGGUUAGUUAUGUCAUGAAAUAUUUAUAUCAUAACUGUCAGAAAUAAUUAUGUUUUUAAACUGGCAGGAAUAAAAACAAACAAAGGAUGCUUUGAAUACUAUGAUAUUGAAUUGCAAGAUAAAAGGUUGACCUGGUGGUAAAAGUAGAAGGGAGGGUGGGAUAAAUCGUGGGUUCAAAUCCCCACACUAACAAAAACACUAACAUAUUAACAAUUGACAUUUGCCAAAGAAAAUAAACUAUGAUAUUACUCUUGAGUUUCAAUAUAUUGUACUGAUAUUUAAAAUAUUCUAAUAUACAAUCAAAACAUUGUGAGACAUCUUGUUGAUAUUUUAAUAAUAAGUGCAUGAGGAAACCCACUUUGAACUGAAUUAUUAUUAAUUUGAAAUUUUUUUCCUACAAAAUUAUUCUUUAAAACUAUAGGUAGAAUAAAUCCUGCACAAAAUUGUUAAUUUUUAUUUCUUUUCUAAUUAUAUUUUUUUCUUACAAAUCAUGGAUAUAUAAAAAAAUCAUUUACAAGUUUAUUUUUAUGAGAAUGAGAGGAAUGAUUUUAUUCAUUACCUCUAGAUCUUAUCACGAAUGAAAAAGAUUAAGAUGUAAAAGUCAUGGAAUUUUUUAAAGUGAUUGUGUUCAAAUAUCGAUCAUUUGUGUUUUAUUGUAUGAUCUAGAUUUUCUUUUCUCGUUUUCGUAUAAAAAUGACUUCCUCACAAGAUAGACCCUAUGUGUGUGUCACACAUAGUAACUUUCUCACAAUUAUGUACUGUUCUAUAUCUUUAGUUAGGGUUUAAGUCGUAUUCUACUUGUUUUAUGGUAGUAGAAGGCAACUACUUCGGCAGAAAACCUCAAAUAUGGUAGUGGUAUGCCACAUGUUUUUUUCUGAGUGAGGCAAUGAUGUGUGGAACUUGGUUGGGAAUAAGAUCCUGGUUUUCUAUCCAGGUCUUCAGUCAGUUUGUUAGCAAGUAGUUAUACUUAUCCUAACUCUGGAUGUGUAAAUAUGCACUCAAAUAUGGACAAAAUUUUGUUUGAUAAUAUAAACCUACAAAUACUGAUGCACUUUUAUGAUACGUUUUUUUUGAAUAUCCUAUCACAUGAAAAUUCUACAUUUCCUUUUUUCCCUUGCUCAAACAGAUACUAGAUAUAUGUUUUCAUAACCUCCCCCAUCCCCCUAAAAUCUUCUAGAAAAAAAAUCUGAGAUAUGUUUUAUAAAUUGUUGCCAAAAGGGGAUUUUGAAGAUUUAGGUAUUUGGUUGUGAGCGAGCCAAAAACUGAAGUAGUUAGGUCAGUUCUUUGUGUGUGUUUUGUGUAACACUAGUUGGUGAUGACACCUUCAUAUAAUAAUUUAUAAUCUCCUAGUAUAUAUGGGUAUUUUAGUAAACAUGGCAUUUGUAACUAAACAGUGAUGUAUUCUGCAUUUUACAUUUUGUUGCCUGUCUUUCAUGUUCUUCUUCACAUUGUGUGAUGAUCUAACAUGGAUGUAACAGGGACUUUGAUGCAUUUGAUCUACGGAUGCAGCUUCCAGCUGUAGUUAGCAAAUUAUAUAAGGCAGUAAAUUCCAACGGAGGUGUAACAUAUAUUCAUUGCACUGCUGGACUUGGAAGAGCUCCUGCUGUUGCAGUAUGUCCCUUGAUUUCAUUUAUGUGAUACUUGUUACUCUUAGAAUAUUUAACCUGAAACAGUGUUUUGGUUAGUUCUGUGUAUGGCAUAAAGGAAAUAAUUUCCUGUUUAAGAAGUUAAAUACAGAAAGAGCAGGUGUUGAAUGUAUCCAGUAACCUCUCACAUACUGAAUGGUUUCAAAAGGUUUUAACUUAAAUAUAUUGAUACAAAAGAAACACCUAUAAAUCAUUUUCAAUGACGAUGUUGUUGAACACCCCCAUAAUUGAGAAAACCCCUAGCUCGCCCUGUUGCAGCCCAUCAAAGUUGGCUGUCAAUGCCUUGGAAAGGACUACCUGCAAAGGACUGACCGAAAUUGGUGAGUGAAGUUGUCACAGUUUUGGCACAUAGGGGAUUGGAGUCUAAGCAGUGCUUAGAAAGGUUUAUUUGGACAAGUUUUUCCAUAAGCACUUCUAAGAAAAAAAAAUUAAAUGAGUUUUUCCGUAAGCUAAUUUGUAGAUACUCUCGUGCUUCUCUAAAUUCUUAUAUUUAACUGUGAAUAAGUUAAUUGACCUUAUAGAGAGACUUAUUUCUUUUUUUCCUUCCUAUUUCUUUUAGAGAAAUUUGCCUAAACAAACAAUAGUAAGAAUUUUGGCUUGUGAUUAGGAAGUCACAGGUUAUAGUUACAGAAACAAACUCUUCUCAUGAUUAAGGCUAUGUGCAUCUGACCCUCCCCACUCCCCAAGGUUUCUCAAUAGUGGGAGAGUGGGAGCCUUAUGCAUUGGCCGACCCUUUUUAUUGUCCACUGUUUGUGCCUUGGGCUAUUAGAAUCGUUUGUCUUGAUGUAGUCUGGACCUGUGCCAUCUGGUUACAUUCACUCCUAAUUUCAUCUGUAGAUGUUUAUUGAAGAUGCCAUUGUUUUUAUUAAGAAAGGGUAGAAAAAAAAAUCCUUUAUUUUCUCAGUAGAGACGUCAACAUAAAUUAUGACCUUUGUGGACUCCUAAUCAUUUAAAUCUAUGACGAAGAUAGAGAUGAAAAAGUUAGUGGUGUCUGAUUUUCUUUUUCUCAAAUAUUUUGGCAUCUCGUGUUUAAUGAUUUAUAUUUUUUUUAUAAUUCUGCCACAUUGGUGUGUGUGUGUGUGUGUAAGAUUAUUUACUAAUAAUUUGUUUUGGCUCAGACGGCCUACAUGUUUUGGGUUCUGGGUUAUACAUUUAAGGAGGCUCAUACACUACUUCAGGUAACUCUAUGCUCAAUACUUCCCUUUUUAUUGUUUCACAUUUUAAGGGCACGAGGAUUCUUGGUAGAUAAUAUGCAGCAUGUUUUUCAGUACCCCGUAUUGCCUGGAUUAAACAAAAUAAUUUUUCCAUUUUUAUUUUCUUCUCAAUGACUUUGACAAAGUUCCUUUUUAGGCUUGGUAAACCUAUUAGUGAGUUUGUUCCACUAAUUUCCUUGACUCACAAGUAACUCUUGAGUAGCAAUUACCGAUUGUGUAGCAAUUACCGAUUCUUCAAUAGUUACAGUUGAAUCACCAGUUUCUAAACUUAGGUAUCUGUGAAUUAUGGAACUGGGCAGUUUACUUACUGACAGAUUUAUUUUCUUACAUCUAGUUUACAAGCACUCUUAUUUAAUUUAUUUUCCUGAGUUCUUUUACUAAAAAAUGUGUCAUAUUCUCUAACUGAUGUAUACCUAAAGAAAUUAAUUUAAUAUCAUCAUUUUCUUUUUCUGCAUGUCAGAAUUUUCAUUCUAGCAGUUUCAUAUUUGAUAAUUUGAGGUUUAUAAUUGUUCUGAACCAAUUUUAGAUGCAUUUGGUAUAAAGAGAGAAAUGAAAUUGGAAUUUGGUCAAGUUUUCUUGUGCCCUUCUUUUUAUUCUUUUGUCUUGUAGAGCAAAAGGGAGUGCUUUCCGAAACUAGAUGCCAUUAAAAGUGCGACAGCUGACAUUGUGAGUCAAUUUACUUUUCUAUAUAUAUUGUGAUUUAAACUUUGAAUGGGAUCUUUUUUAUGUUGUAUAAUUGUAUUAAUACUGGUGUGAUCUUGCUGAUAAGUCUUUUCUCUAUAAAAACUGACAUAAUUAAUUUAGAUGUUUCAAGAUGAGAAUUUGAUUGAAACUGUUCUUCAUUUUUUUAUCUUUUUAUUGUUUCCCUCUCAUUUUUUUUUUAAAAGUCACCUUUGAACAUUAUUUAUUUGUGGUACUCAGCUUACAGGCCUCAGUAAGAAACCUGUCACUCUGUCAUGGGAAGACAGCAAUUGCUCUAGGGUGGAAAUUUCCGGACUUGAUAUUGGAUGGGGGCAGGUGAUGAUUGAGUCUCGUUUUGUUCAGAUUUAAGAAUAUUAGUUCCUCUAUUAUAGUACGUGUAACGGCAUUAAGUUACAUGGAGAUAUUAUUAUAUGCACCAUCAUCCUUAACUGCUUCGGUUAUAGCCAUUUAUCAUUUUGUUGUGAAACAUGUUCACAUGUAUGAAUUUUCUUUUUCCUGUUGGGACUUUUAUGUUGUGUAUUCAUAAUUCAUUACCUUAAAGACUAUCUUACUAAUAUUGUGUGUACUCUUGGUUGUAGUUCCUCUUAAGGCAACUGUGAUUUAGAGUCCUUUUGAUAAUUUUACUUAGAGGUGGCUGAUGAUGUUUCUGUGUCAAAAUAUUUGAGAAGGGUUUACCAUUACAUUCUUAGAUAUAUUCAAACUGUUUAGAUGAGAAAUAAUUUGAUAAUGGAAGUCUUUAUUAUAAUGUAUAUGCUUGGCCAAUUUUGCAUCUUCAAUUGUCAUAUUUCUUUCCUUUUCUUCCAUUGUCACUUAUGAUCUCAUCUGUAAAUCCUGUGUCUUCAUCUAGCUUGUUUAGCUCCCAUUUCCUAGUUUAAAAAACAUUUUAAAGUAUCUAUUGUUUAUUAAGUAGAUGACACAUUUUAUUCAACUCGGAGUAACUAAUAGCUGUUACCAAUUCUCACCGCUGCUGCUAUCAUGAAUUCAGACAAAAUAGGAGAAAAAUAAUAUAUCAGUAGAAAUUGGAUGUUUGGUCCUGGGAAGUUCAAAGUUAAACUAAACCACUUCUGACAUCUUGCCAAAAUGAUGUUCUCAACGCAUGAUAUGAAGUCCCCAUCCCAUGUCAGAUUCGAAGACUUUUUAUAUUUAAAAUUAUCUGAAUUACAUCGUUUGACCUAUGUUUUGAACAUAUGCCUUGUUUAUACGAAUUCAUGCAAAAUCUUUACUUAAUCUUGAUCUCUUUUCAGAGAGUACCCCUAAAUUUUGAUGACAAAUCGGGCUUGUGGUACCUCGAGAGGGAAUUACCUGUAAGUGAAAUUGUUAAAAUUGGGCUGCUAUUACUUGUCUGUUUAAAGCUUGGUCUUAACAUUGAACGCUCAAUAACUUAUCGACUCAGCAGCUGUGAUGUUAGCAAUAGAUUGAUGAGAAACAAGUUUAUCGUCUUAUUUACCAGGAAGGACGCUAUGAGUACAAGUACAUUGUUGAUGGGGAAUGGACAUGCAAUAAAGAUGAGCUUGUAACCUCUCCCAACAAAGAUGGCCAUGUCAACAAUUUCAUUCAAGUAAGUUAUAAACUUCAACUAAAUAGCUCAGAAAAUAAAUUUUGUGAUUGGUAACUUACUCCUUCGAAUCCUAGGAAAUUGCUAGAAGCUAUAAUCAGUACUGAUAAUCAGCUCAAAGAUAAAAAGAACACAAAUGUACCACAACAUUUCUGGUUCACAACCAUGAUAUUUUUUUAGAGUUAAAAAUUGAUCGUUAUUGACAUUGAUACCUUAAAAAAAGUUUCAAUCUUACUAGAAUGAUCACAUUUUAACAUAAUUUAAAAACAAUAGAGUUAAUAUCACAACCAAGUUAACAUAUUUAUUAAAUGUUGGCUAUAAAGAAUAUUGGAGGAACCAAAAACUUUUUUAACCCUCUUUUUUAUCUCGUAUUUUAGCCCAUCACAUCAUAUUUCACCAUCUGACUCUAAAUUAUUAGUUUGUGCACAUUCUAUUUGUCUGUUAUUGAUUUCUCAUAUUUCAUCCUCUUCUAACAGGUCCGUGAUAAUAGCAGCAGUGAUCGUGUUUCCCUUCGGGAGAGAUUCUCUUCUGAUGAUCCUGAUCUUACAACGGAGGAACGAGUGAGAAUAAAGGAGUUUCUUGAAGCUUGUUCUGAUGAGGAUCUGUGACCCAUCAAUGCACGUAUCUGUUGAUAUGUAAAGUACCAUAUGCACGCAUACAUGUUAUUUAAUAAAAGGUUGAAUAUAAACCUUCUGAUAAGAUCUCUGCUUCAGUAAUAAAGCUGGCUUGACUAGUUUAUCGAGUUCCAUAGUAUUCAGAAGUCUCUAGUAUUAUUUAAAUAAUAGGAUACCCUAGGAUAAACCAUGAUUUUCAACGUACCAUGAAGUAGAAUGUCACUUCAUAAGAUGAGUUUUACAUUUAUAGCCACAUAGAUGUCAAAAGUUGUAAAUUAGAUAAAACUUUUAAGUACAUUAAAUAUCAUUAUUAGGUUCCAUAGUAGGGGUUGCCUAAUGGUGAAUGAUAUGAAUAAGGUUACUUUGCAUAUGUCGGAAUUAGUUAUUUUUAUGUUAUUAAGACGUAUUGAAAGGGGGUGAAACAAUUUUAAUUGGAAUAUUUGUGGGAGAAUGAGGUUGAUUUUUCUUUUGAGGGUGUAACAUGGAGUGCAAGGAUGGAACAAAUCACAUUUUUAUGAUGAUCGUCUUAUAAUGUUGCAGUUUUUUAUAAUGGUGUUGAUAAUUAUAUUGUGUUUAUGACUAAGAUGAGUGCAUAGAUCAGAGAAACAAUCUUGAGAAUAAAAUAUGAAUUUUAUAUAUUUCAUUAUAAAAAAAUUAUUAAAUAUUAUUAAAUAGUAAUUAAAAUUAGAUAAAAAAUAAUUAGUUACUGUAUUAACUAGAUUAUAUACUCUUUUAGAGGUUAAAAAAUUAUUAAUAUCUAAAAUGGUUUUUAUUAUUAAUAAAAAAUUAAAAAAUAGUUUCUAAAUUGGUAUAUAAAUUAGUUAUCACAAUUUUAGUUACUAAUAUUUUAGGUUCUAAAUUGGUCUUUUAAAAAUUAAUUUAAAAUAUUAAUAAAUAAGAUUUUGAUAAUUAAUGGUUAGAUACUAAUUUAAAAACUAUUUCAAAUAACAAUAUUUUUUUAAUAUUUAAAAUAUCUCUGGUUUAAUUCAAUAAUAAUUAAUUAUUUUAGUUUUUAAAAUUAAUUAUAAUUUAAUUAUUUUCUUAAAGUAUUUUUACGUGGUCUUUUUUAAUUUUUAUAUGUUUUUGUGACUAGAGUAUCUUAGAGACAUCAUUUUUAUUAUUUGAUUACAUGUCUUAUCAAAUGAGCCUUGUUAGUGAAUAGACAGAGUAGUCCUAGUCCUUGUUAUAAAUAAACUUAUAUUGAUUUUUGUCAAAUAUUAAGAUUCAUUUUAUAGAAAAAUAAAUAAAGUUUUGUUUUGUGAUAAAUUGUUAAUUCAAGUUGGUAAAUCAUUCUCAACUUAAUAUCAUCUUCGAGUGUAACGUCUUUUUCAUCUUCUUAUUUUCUUUCGUGUAUCCUAAUUUUUAAUGAUAUGUUGGAAAUGGUUAUAAACAAAAUCUUUGACUAUGAGUUCACUAUUUGGUUACUAUAACAAGGUUUAAAUCCAUGGAAAUUAUGAAUAAUUGAGCUGAAUUAGUAAUUUGGUGUUUAAUUUAGAAUUUGGUUACAAAUCUAAUUUUUUUUCUCUAUUUUCAUUUCAAUUUCUAAUUUUUGUCAUGAUGUGUGUUUUUAAUUCCAUUAGUAGUUAAUUUUUGUUGUCAAUAAUUAUGUUCUUAAUUUCGUUGCUAGUUGCGUUAAUAAAUCAUAGGUUAAUAGUAAUGUUUUGGUUUGAGCUUAUAAUAUAUGAUGUUCAUUCAAACUAUUUUGUUGUUUGGGUCAUGUUCCAUUUGUUGUUUACACUUUCUUCUAUUUCAAUUAGUUGAACAUAUAUUGUAAAAAGGAAGGUAUAUAGUAAUUUUUCUAUCAUAUCUAAUACAACAAAUCAUAAUUAAUUCUUAAUUUGAUUCCACUUCUAGUUGAAUUGAUUAAUUGAUUUCAAACACAUAAAUUAAAAGUUUAUACUCAGUGAAAAUCAUACUUUAAUGUUGUGCUUAAGUUUAAAACUUAAACAAAAACAAAAGAAACAAAUAAUACUUAGGCGAGAUGAAUUAGAAAAUUAAAAUAUAAAACAAAAAAGGAAAUCAUAAGAUGAACAACAUGCCACAAUCAUAAAUAAUUGGUGAGUCAAAUAAAAUUAGUUACCUUUAAUUAAACAUUCAAACAUAAAAGAUCAAAAACUAUAGUUAAGAAAUUAGAGAAAAGUUAUCUCAUAAAUGAAGACUUAAUUCGUAAAAUGAAUCUUAAAUUUUGAUUAAAAAAAAGUUAACAUAAACCUGUUAAGUUUAUCCAUUAAUAAAAUCUAUCAAAUAAGUGAUAUAUUUAGCUAAUAGAAAAUGAUGUCCAUGAAAAACUUUAAUUACAAAAGUCUUUUAUAUAUGAUAUUGAGUAAUUCUAAUGUUUUUUUUUUUAUAUAAUUAUGGUUGAAAAUGUGUGGGAAUCCAAUUUUUUUUAAUCUAUAUUUAACAUCUGAAUGAGAUGAAAUUAUUGAUAAGAUUGUUUGAGGGGUGAUUACUAGAUGAGUAAUUUAACUUGAUACAAGUUAACGUGGAUAUUGAAUUAUGAGAUGUGUUAAUAAAAUAUUCAAAUUUUAUUGAAUACUUGAAUCAUAUAGAUAAAAAUAUAAAGUGAUAAAAAAUGGACAAUUGUUUUUCAGUAAUUCGAAAUUGAAUAAUCAUUGACAACUAAAUAUAUAAUGAAUGAUAUAACAAAUGUUAGUCUUAAAUAUUUAAAUACAACACAGUAUUUAUUCUUAUAAUUAUUUAUAAUUAUUUGUAAGAUUAUUUGGUAGGAAAUGAACAUGUAUGAUUUACUUUUUAUUAAAUGAAUUACGUGUCUUCUUAUAUUAGUUUCAUAUUAAAUUAUGUUAUUUGGAUAAGUCACUGCAUCGAUUGUUGACCAAAUGGAACCAUAUGACUUUAUAGUUGGUCAACUAAACUUCAUAUUCAGACAUGAAUAAACAUAGAAUUAAUAAUUCAUAUGCUGACAUGGAUUAAAUCCUGACGGCAAAAGUUAGUAUGAUCUCUGAAAGAACAUGGACAAUUAAAGGAAAGAAAAGAGAAGAAUAUGAGUGAUAAGAUAGGGAAGGUGGAGAAAGUGGAGAAUGAGACAUGGAGAUAAGGGUAAUGGAAUACCCAACAGGAGAGGAGGAACAAGGAUAAAAAGGGGUGAGUAACUAGAGAAAGGGACAACAUUUUUUGGAAAAGGAGAGAAGGAGAGUUCGAGAAUAAAAGGAAAGAAGAGAGUUCGAAAAGGAGGGAAAAGUGAGGAGAGUUCGGGAUAAGAAGGAGAGCAAAGUUGCUUUCUUCGAUAGCUCGGUGAGAACGUCACCCGACGAGAAUAUUUGGCAUCCACCGUGGGGCCGAUAAAACUGGUCCCACCCAUCACAAAGAGGAGAUUAUGAAUUGUCUAUUGACGGAGAUGGGUACCACGCAUCAGCAAGCUUGGGGGGAGAAUAACGCACCCACCCUCCAACAAAUCAUGGAAACAAUGUUAGUAUUACAACGUGAUAAUGAAGAAGUCAAGCAACAAGCACGAGAAUUCCAGGAAGAGCAAGAUCAUCUGCGGGAAAAGGCUCGGGUAGACAAGGAGGAGUCCCGGGCCAAGCAGGAUAGACUACGAGAGGAGGCGGACCGUGCAAGGAAGGCGAUGGAGGACACCGUCCGGAUGAACGAGGAGUUACAGACUACAAAUGAUGAACCAUGGAGGGUUGUACACAUGCAAGUACGAAGGGGCACUCAAGUCUGUUCUACUGACAUCUCGGCACGAGAUAAUCCCAGGCCUUUCUCGUAGGCCAUUAUGGAGAAGCCAGUUCCACCACACUUCAUCACUCCCAGACUAACACUUUUCUCGGGGGUGGAGGACCCCGAGGGACACUUAAAAGCGUUAUGAACCCAAAUGAUUAUUUUAGGAGGAUCUGACGUGGUUUGUUGUAAAAUAUUUGUAGGGGCGCUCAUCGGGAUCGUCCUUCAAUGGUUCAGUGGAUUCCCUAAGGGCAGCAUCACAUCGUUCCAAGAAUUUUCUAGUAUGUUCAAAGAAAAAAAAUUCAUUAACAAGAUAGAACCCCCUCGCCUUGCCAACCUAUUUGAUGUACGACAAAGAGAAGGGGAGUCUUGCAAAGACUAUCUCAACCGGUUUUGUGUCGUCUCUGUAUGUUUGAGAAAUUCGAAUGAAGAAUUGGUAGUAGACGCGUUCGUGAAGGGCCGUCGAGCAAGUUGGUUCAGUGAUUCACUAAUCUGGAAUAGGGUCGAAUCACUAACAGAGAUUCGCGAGAGAGCAGCAGUUCACAUCGAGAUGGAGGAGGCCAUAAAAAGGAAGAGAGUAAACGAACUACAAAGAUAGGGAAGAUAUAAGGAUAGCUCGCACAACCACAAAACAAAGAACGAUGAAUUACCGACUGGAAGAAGACCAAAGCAGAAAUACGUCUCAUACGUAGCCAAAAGCAAUAUGGAGAGAAGCCAUCCUGUGAGUUAUGAUCGGCCUAAACCCCAAUGCAACACGACAAUAAAAUCUCUUUUGAGCAAAGAGGAUGUGAUAAAGAAACUUUAGUUCCUCCCAAAAUAUCGAGCAAGUUUUAGGAGCAAAAAAGGGAAGCUUGGUGCGAAUUCCAUCAGGCUCGAGGCCAUGAUACUGAAAGAUGCAUGACCUUGAAAUACCAGCUCGCCAAGCUGGUCAACGAAGGUUUUCUGACGAAGUAUCUCAAGGGGUUCGAUGUCAACCAGAAGGGGAAGAGUCAGUCACAGGAACACAAUCACGAAAUCCCUGUACUGGGAGAUCUACAUAUGAUAGCAGACAGAUUUUCAGGAGGAGGAACUUCUUCAUUAACCCGGAAACAAUAUUCAAGAUUGGUAUUGAUGGAAGAGGCCCAAUCUCAGGCUCUAGUUCAAGCCUAACAACUAGGUCCAUGGAAAAAAGGAUUUAAGAAGAUUGGGACUCUACUACUGAUGGUAGAGAAACUUUUCUUUAUAUGUUCAAAGAGGGCCACAAGAAGUAAAGGCCAAGCCAUGGGAGCUAGUUUCUUUAUCAUUGGGUAGGAAGUUGACCUAUCUUCUAGAACUUUGCUCCUAGGGUGUGGCAUUUACUUUAGUCAAUACCCUAGUUGCCCAUCUUUCGUGUAUUCCUCAUCCUACCCUUGCUCCUUGUUCUCCAAGGCACUUGCACCUAUAUAAUAAGGUGCAUGGCUCAUGUUUUGUAAGAUCAAUUUAUAUGAGUAAAUGCUGCCAAAUUUUUGCAAGUUUCUACUCCCUUGUCUAGCCUCUCUAGGUUAGACAUCUUGAUCUUCACCUUUCUCUAAGUGAUAUGACCCAACCAAUCACUUUCCACACAUUUCAUGCACCUAUAAGGAACCCAUAGCUCUAUAUGAGUCAUCCUUGAUCCAUCACCUCAAUUGUUUCUGCCACCUUCACCUCAUUAUUCAAUAAGAACAACACAUCUUUUGGUAUCAACCCAUCAGGUAUUGUCCCUGUAAGCUCGGUCACCCCUUUUAGUUCCUUCUCUUUGUUUCAUUCCUGCAAAUUUAGAAGAUGUGUACCCUCAUGAAAAUGAUCUUGUCGUGCUCUCGGUCACAACAAUGGGGCGGAAGGUGCAUCGAAUGCUCAUCGAACAAGGAAGCUUGACGGAUGUCAUGUUCUAGGAUACCUACCUCGGCCUUCAGAUUCCUCCUGACCAACUUCAACCUUUUUAUGGUUGCCUCGUCGACUUUAACAUCGACCAGUUUGAGGUAUAGGGAUAUCUGAAAUUGCGGAUGACCUUUUUGGAUGGAGACGCAACAAGCACUAUAACCAUCAAGUACAUAGUUGUCAAUGUUGCGUCAUGCUACAUUUUUCUCCUUGGCCGACCAUCGUUAAACAAGCUAGGGGUGGUGGUGUCCACUUCACAUCUAAAACUGAAACUACCCUCGCUAGAAGGGGAGGUGAUUACCAUGAAGGUAGACCAGAAAGUUGCUUGGAAAUGCUAUGAAAAUAGCCUCAGAAGCCGACGAGGCAUAUAUAUGAUUACGAAUUGCACAAAAGAAGCAUGGUCAGAAACUUGAAUCUAACAUGAAAAAUUGAAUGUAAUUGCCUCGCAACAUACGAAAUAAACAAGUCGUCUAGUCUCAAACAUGUAAGCCUCUUCGCCUAGCACGAUUCGGCUAGAGGUUGGGGGACGUGUACUGUUCGGAUAAGUCGUUGGAUUGGUUGUUGACAGAAUGGAACCCACCCAACCUUAUAGUUGGUCAACUAAACUUCAUAUUCAGGCGUGGAUAAACAUAGAAAUAAUAAUUCAUAUAGUGAUGUGGAUAAAAUCCUGAGGACGAAAGUGAGUAUGACCUUCGAAAGAACAUGGACAAUUAAGGGGGAGAAAUGGGAGAACAUGAGUGAUAAGAGAGGGAAGGUGGAGAAAGUGGAGGAAGAGACGUGGAGAUAAGGGUAAUGAAACACCUAACAAGAAGGGAGUAACAAGGAUAAGAGGGGGCGAGUAACUAGAGAAGAGGACAACAUUUUUUUGGAAAAAGGAGAGAAGGAGAGUUCGAGAGUAAAAGGAGAAAAGAGAGUUCAAAAAGGAGGAAAGAGUGAAAAGAGUUCAAGAUAAAAAGAAGAGCAAAGUUACUUUCUUAAUCGACAACUCGGCGAGAACGUUACCCAACAAGAACAAAAUAUAUAUAUAUAUAAUAAUAAUAAUAAUAAACUAAGAAAUUAUGUUUUAGAUAUGUGGUUUGUUGUAUGGUUCAUCGGUAUAUAAAACAUUCAUAUUUAUCUUGUGCACAUGUAUUUAAUGUUAUCUAAAUUUUAUCACAAUAAAUAAUAAAGAACAUUUAUAACUAAUAUUGUUUAACCUUCACAAAAUUAGCCAAACUUUAAAGAAACAAAUUAUUUCAUGUUCAUUUAAAAUAUCACACAAUGCAAAUUUUGAAAAUCUUUAUUAUUAUCACAAUUUAGAAGAAACUAAUGACUCAUUUUAUUUUUUCACAACCAAUUAUUGUUGAUAAAUGAAUAAAUAAUUUUAACCAUUUUUUUUAUUUAAGGAAAAGAAAAAUGAAUAAAUAUGAAGAAAUUUAUUAUUUGGAUUUUUUUAAAGUUUAAAAUCUAGAAAAAAAUCACCUAAUUUUUUUUUAAUUAUGUUUUUUAAUUAAAUCAUAAUGUAACAACAAAAUUUUGCAAUAUAAAUAGACAUAUCCGUAGAUAUAAAAAUAAAUAUGAAAUACACAAUUAUCAUUUAAGAAUAUUUUCCUUGUAACAAAAUAAAUAAUUAUCUUGGAAGAAAAAAAUGCAAAAUAUCAAAACCAUCAUUUAAGACUCAUAUUAUAUGUUUGUCACAUUAAUAUCUAAUCUUUUGUUCACACUUAUGAUUUGAUGGAAAUAAUGCCGAAGAAAACUAAGAACAUAAAAUAAAAAAUAUUUUUAAUAACAAAGUAUCUUUGAGAUUCAUUAAAAGAAUUAUCUGUUAAUAAAAAAAUGUAUUAUCUAUAUUUAUAGCAUUAUAUAUAAAAAUAUAUAAUUUGGUAAUUUCCAUUUUAGUAUCAUAUUUUAAUUGAACAAUUUUACUCUUUAAUAAAUAAAUAAAUAAUUAUUUAUUUAAUGUAAUAAAUAAUUGAAUAACUUUUAUUUUAUAUUAAAAUAAAUAAAUAAAUUAUCUUUUGAAAAUAAUAAUUAUAUAAAUUGUAAUACUAUUUUUACAAAAUUAAAUAAUUUUUUAAAUUAUAUUUAUUUUAUUUUUAAUUAAUAUUCAUAAAAUAAAUUUUAUUAUAAAUUAUAUAUAUAUGUAUAUUUUAAUUUACUAAAAUUAUUCACUUGGCAUUUUCGCUAGUUAUUAUAUAAAGAGAAUAAUAUUUUAGUGGAAUAAUUUUUUUAAUUAAUAAAUAAUUUAUUUAUUUUAAAAUAAUUAAAAAAAUAUUUUAAAAAAAUACCUAUCGCAUAAUGUUUCCAAUAAUAUUCCUACAAAAUUAUACAUUUAAAUUAUAUUAUUAUCAUAUUUUUAAUUAAUAAUAAAUUAUAUAUUUUAAAAUUAUAUUAUUUUAAUAUAAUAAAAAUAUGAAUACAAUGCAUCUAUAUGCGCUAGUUCUGAUGAUACAAAUUUUAUUAAAUAAUUCCAAAAUUAAACUUUUAAGCAAUAACUUCUUUUACAUCUAAUCUUUAAAUUGAUUUACAUAAGUAAACAAACCCAGCCUAAAUAACAGAUUAUAAUUAGGUGAAAUUAAGAAGUAAAAGACAUAAUAUUUUCUAAGAAAUAGUAUUUUUUUUUUACUUUAUACUUUUUAUUACUUGUCUCUUCAUAUAUUUUUAUAAUAUCUAAAUCCAAUAAUAACUUUGAAUUAAAAGGGUGGUUGUUUCACUAUUAUCUAAAUUUAAAUAAAAUAAAAUUUCAAAAUUAACCCCUCAAACACGCAAGCCCCGCCACAUCCCGAAAACACGAAACGCGAGAUUUAAAAAUCUCCCUCCAAAAUGAAAACUCAUCCUGCCACGUCAUCGAUCCGCGCAAGCUAAACCCAACCAAUCAGCUUCCAUCCACCAUUCCUAUAUAAACCACUCCUUUCUCUCAAAUCAUCAUUCACAUUAUUUCUUCAAUUCAAUUCUUCUUCAACAAAUCCAUGGCUGCAAAGGGCGAGAAGAAACCUGCGGAGAAAAAGCCUGCAGAGAAGGCUCCAGCUCCAGCGGAGAAAACUAAGGCGGAGAAGAAGAUUCCAAAGGAUGCUACCUCUGGAGAGAAGAAAAAGAAGAAGAAGGCAAAGAGUGUGGAGACCUACAAAAUCUACAUCUUCAAGGUACUUAAGCAAGUCCACCCUGACAUUGGGAUCUCCAGCAAGGCCAUGGGAAUCAUGAACAGUUUCAUCAAUGAUAUUUUUGAGAAACUAGCUCAGGAAUCUUCUAGACUUGCCCGCUACAACAAGAAGCCCACCAUCACCUCCCGUGAAAUCCAGACUGCUGUCCGUCUUGUCCUCCCUGGCGAGCUCGCCAAGCAUGCUGUCUCUGAAGGAACCAAGGCUGUUACCAAAUUCACCAGCUCUUGAGUGUGUCACCAAAUAUUAGGGUUUUUAUGUACACUUUUGAAUAGAUUUUGUGCCACAAUAAUUUUCUGAGAAAUAUAAUUUCAUUUAUAUUUUGACUUCAUAUAUAGUUGUCUUUUAUCAUACAAUCAUCAAUAGCUGUUAAUUAAUCAUUCUUAUAUUUUUCUUCCUGUGGUGAAUUUCAUGUUGAAAAUUCAUGUGGUGUUAGUGGGAUUUAUAACUUUGGUGACUUAAUAGUGUUCACUAGCAUUACUUGGUUAUGCUGCAUCAAGGUGCUUGUGAUUUUUGAAUGACUGUUAUUGUUUUGUAUUUUAAAUUGUUGAGUAAGACCCUAGUGUUUCAUUUUGGUUAAUAUGGUGUGAUUAUAUUCCAUUCCUUUAAAUUUUGAUGGAUUGGGUUUUCCCUUUGUUAGAUAGUUGCAGGUUGAAAUUGUGGCUGUGCCUCUUUCCUCAGGGAAUGGUGUGGGUAUAUCAUUUGCCAAGGUAGUGUAUUUUUCCAUUGAAUUGGGUAUAUUCCAUUGAUUAAAAUCAACUUUAGGACCAAUUGACUGGCAAAUUUUUCUAUAUUAGUUUCUUAUAUUCUCUGUGUCAGUGAUGUUAGAACUUAUUUUAAAAAAUGGUUUGUUGCAUUGCACUGUGGGUGACAAGUUGUUGUAGUUGUCUGAUUAGCUGUGGAAGUUGAUUAUUUAUGGUGCAUAUGGACAUUAAAGAAAUAUACUCCAUCAAAGAUAAAAUUCACAGUUAGGUGAUAAGUAGUGUUUGGAAAGAACUAGUAUAAGCUAUGAUUCGAAGUCAAAUGCAGUCCCUAAUAAAGUUGUAAAAAAACUCUGCACCAAGGUCGUGUAUCCACAAUAACCUUCAAAUUCCUGUUUUGAAUUAAUCUACCAAUUUCUACAUGAUUUGAAUUGCCUAAAUUACUUCCAAAGGUGGAGUUUGAGACUCAAAUAGCAAGAGAGCACAGAAAAAAAGUGUAUAAUGAGCAUUGAAUACUGUUCAACAUAAUCAUGUAUAAAUUAUUUUUUUCACUGUUGAAAGUUAACAUUUCUAUGGCUUUGUUUAGAAAAGGUGGAAGUGGAAAGAGAAAUAAUGUUGUUUGAUAUAUAGAAAAUGAGUGUAUUUGAGAUGAAAAGAGUGAAUAUCAUAUAAUUGAUGUGAUUUUAUUGUAGAAAAGAGUUAAUUGUCUUAUUUAAUUAUUUAUAAAAGUACUCUUGUCUUGAAAUUGUGAUGGAAUCUAACUAAAAUAAAAAUAAAUGUAUAGAUAUGAAAGUUAAAACAUGUAUUUAUUUAUAUACUUGAAUAUUUAUAUAUUUAAAUAGAAAAUUGUAAAUGAAAAAAAAAGUUUUUGUAAGAGCAAACUUUUUUAAAACAUUUUGUAAUUAAAUUGUAAAUAUUCUAGAUUUAAUAUAAAAUACGUUAUGGUUCAAUAAAUCUCUAACUGAUGGAUCCAUUUUUGGGAUUGUUAGUUGAGUUUUUUACCUAUUUUUUUAUUUAACUUAUCUUAAUCUCACCUCUUUAUAAAAAAUUAUGAUCAUUUAAAAAAAAAUUCCUACUAAUAUUUUACAAAUUAAAAUAUAUCACUAUUUUACUUGACUCAUUCAUCAAAUAUACACUAAAUAAAUUUAUCACAAAAUCUAUUACUAUUCUAUAUACCGUAUGAUAGCAUCCAAUUAUAAUAUAAAUUGAAUAUUGUGUACACACUCAAGUGGGAAGAAAAUCCAAUACAGUAUACCUACGCUUCCAAAUCUCCUUAAGGCCCCGUUUGGAUCCAGGGGUGGUACUGUUGUCGACGAUGGAAGUCACAACAGCACCCCGUUUGGAUCCAUGCAUUGUUACGGGUGAGGGUGGAAGGAAGGAGAAAGGUGAAUGAAUUCUCCUUCUGCUUAAAGAUGAAGAGAAAGUUGCACUGUAGUGUGGGAGUGCCAAGUCAUCCACAGGAACUUACAAUGUUGCCCUUGCUUUUGCUGGAAUCAAGAGGAACAGUGACCCUGCAUGCAUGCCACAUGAAACCAUGAGAUUCCUGACUUGGCUCAGGAAUCGUUUGACUGUGUGUGAAACUGUGAAAGGUGAGAGAAUGCAGUGGGUGAGGUAGGUGGGCGUGAAGCUGGCUAUAUAACAUCAUGAAGGUGGUUCCUCCAUUCACAUAAAAGCAAAGAAAGCGAGCCAUCAGAGAGUGUAGUGUAGUGUGGUUGGAGAGAUUCGUAAGCCAUCAUAGUUUGUGUUAGGAUAGCUUGUUCAUCUCACGUCUUGGGUUCAUCUGUGUGAUUCAUCUGGGGUUCAUUUGUGGGUUCGUCUGAGGUGAGAGCUUUUUUUGGAAUGGUGCAUAAUCGAUUAUGCUUGAAUUAGAACCGGUCAGAUAAUCGAUUAUGGUGCAGAUAAUCGAUUUUUCAAAGUUAGUAAUCGAUUAUCUGUAAAAAUUUAGAGCCAUAAUCGAUUAUCUGAAGUGUGGAAAAAGGGCCAUAAUCGAUUAUUCAUUGCCAUAAUCGAUUAUGCUUGAUUUUUGCCUACUAACAUAAUCGAUUAUCCAUGGAUAAUCGAUUAUCCUAUGUAUAUAACUGAAUGCAUAAUCGAUUAUGUUCUAAAUUUUUUGAAAUUUUGUGUUUCUUAUUUUUUUUAUGUGAUUUUCAGGCACUGGUGUUCUUCAUCCUAUCAGUCAUCCUAUUGUGUUGUUCUUGCUUAUCUUCAGGUUUUUAAUUUUUUUUAUGUAAAGUUAUUUUUUUUAUUUCUGUUUUAUAUUUAUGUUUGGAUGAUUAUGGUUUUGUAAUAUAAUUUGUUUAGAAUUUAGUUUAGUUAAUUAUGUUAAGGAGUUAGUAAAUUAAUGUUGUUUGUAAUAUAAUUUGUUUAGACUUUAGUUUAGUUAAUUAUGUUAAAGAGUUAGUAAAUUAAUGUUAUUAUUUGAUUUAUUGUUUUAAUUUUUGUAGAUAGUUAUAAUUUUUGUAAGAUUUAAAAAAAAUAUUUAUUUGUAUGAAAUGAAUGAUUUCCAGAAUGGAAACAAAAAUUUGUAAAGUUUAGGUUUUUGAUUAUAGUAAACCUAAAUUAUUAAUGUUAUAAUUAAAUCAAAUAAAAAAUGUUGUAGUGAUUAACGAAAACUGAAAAAGUUUAGUUAAAUAUUGUUUAUAAGAGAAUAAAUUUAUUUAUUUAAAAUGAUUGGACAAAAAUUAUUAAUAUUAUCAUUAAAAGUAUUAAAAAAAUUGUUGUAGUUAUUUUUGUUAUAAGAUUUAAUUGUUUAUAAGAAAAAAAUUAAUGUUUUUAAAAUGAAUAUUUUUACAAUUUGAAAUAGAAAUUUGUAAUUCGUAGGUUUUUUAAAAAGUAAUUGAUAUUUUAGAAGUUGUAUUUUUAGUUGAUAUUUUGGUUUUUGAACUUGUAUUAUUGCUUUAUGAUAUUAUGUUAACUUUUCUUUUAGUUAUUUAUUGUAGUAAUUGCAUUAUAGAUGGCAUCAUCAUCCCACAAACGUAACAGAAUCCGUAAGGGUAAAUCUCCAGCAGAAGAUGUUGACGUUCCUCCUCCACCAACGAGGAUUCUAGAAUUCAAGAUACUUCAGUACCAAGCGUCAAAUGGUGGUUUUUGAAAAGAACUUUCACGCAAGAGCAGUAUUACCACCAAAAGUGAUGUAUACUCCAUUUUUUGCUGGUCCAGGAUUUGAAUUCCAAAAUCUUCUGAAUUGGCAAGGUUUACAACCUUUCCUUGGAAUUAAUUUUCCGUAUUAUGAGGAUUUUGUAAGAGUAUUUUAUACAAAUGCAAAAUUCACACCUGCUGGUCACUUUGCCAUUGAGAUUUGAGGAAAAAUUAUACACAUUAAAGAAAUAGAUUGGAUGACCAUUGCUCAUCUACAGUAUGACGGUCUUAAGUUAACCCUUGGGACGAUACCUGAGGAACUGAAUUUUGAUCGAGGUCUAGCAUUAUCGUCCAUGAUUCGUGAAGAUGUUGAAGGUGAAAAUCUGAAAAAUGUCGGUAGUCUGAAAAUGAAUGACCGACUGUUGCAUUACACAUGGGUGCAUAUUUUGUGUCCUCGAGGAAGCAACUAUGCACAACUACUUAAUGAAGAUAUUUGCAUGAUGUGGUUAAUCAAGAAUAAUGUACGCAUUAAUUGGCCUCAUUACAUAAUGCAACACAUCAUCAAAUGUCGGGAUAACAAGAUGUCUCUCCCAUAUGCAAAUUUGAUAAUGAGGAUCUUGCAGGUGUAUGGCUUUGACUUCCAAUGAACAAGCAAUAAUGCUAGGCUGGAAUCAUUAAUUUGGCAAAAAAAGUAUGACAAAAUGAAAUAUAUUCCAGGUCAAUGGCAUAUGACAAAUUGGUAGAUCCCACCAUGCAAACGAAGAAGAUGAUGAAGAGGAUGAAUUGCCAACCCAAGAUGUUGAAGGUGGUCAACCUGAGGAGGCAAACCCCACUCAAAGGGAAUUGUUAAAUCAAAUUUUGUCUGGCAUACAAAACAUGAAUACCCGAAUGGACAGAAUGGAGGUUACUCUGGCAGACAUUCGACGUCAUCAAGGCCAUUGAGUGUGUUAUUAUUAUGUUAUUGUCAUUGUUAUUUUUAUUUUUAAUUUUCAUGUUGAACAUUGAUGAAUUGUGUUUGUUAUUUUUGACGUUGACAUUGUUAUUGUUAAGGUUUUAUGCUAUUUUUCAUGCUACUUAUUUACAUAAUCAUAUUGUUUUUAAUGCAACUUUUUUAUCAUCUUAUUACUUCGACAACAUUGGUUAAGUGUCAUUAAUGUCUGCGUAUCACAACACGUCGUCAUCUAGUUGUACUGGUUGUAGUGUGCAAAAACGUGGUACUUUUACCCAUGCUACUGGGAGCACAAGUGCCUUCGUUGAUCUAUUUGUGAUUGUGGACAAUUUGUUGUUUUGAGAAUAGCGACAACACAAAAAAAUGCAGGAAAAUUUUUUUGGGUUGUCCCAACUACAAGGUAAAAUUUAUUCAAUUAGGUUUGAAACAAACUUAAGAAUGUUAUUUUAAACUUAUUCAUUGUUCAAUUUUAUUGUUUUCUUCAAAACAGAUUAGAAGGAUUAGAAGUGUCAUGGUUUUAGGCUGUAAUUUUUUCAAAUGGUGCAUUGAAGACGUUGCCGAUGAAAAAUAUGAAAUUAUUAUCAUACAACGAAAUAAGAUAUGUCUUCUAGAAAACCAUUUGAAGGUUUCCACAAGAAGGAUUCAAAUGUUAUUACUGGAAUGUUUUUUCUUUUUCUAAUUAACAUUAUGUUCUUCAUGUAAUGACUUUAUAUUAUAUAUUUUGACACCUACUUAAUAUUCAUGUUAUAUUCUAAAUUUCUAUUUUCUUUUUAAAAUAUAUUCAUUUUGCUAUUCAUAAUAAUGAAAAUUAUGUUUAAAAUUAAUUUUAUAUAUAUUUGUAUAUAUAUAUAUAACAUAACAUAACAUAAUUUAUAAAAUCAUUUAUAAUAUUAAAAUUAUGUAAAUAAAUUAACUUAAAUAAAAAAUAAUUCUUAAUUAAUAAAAUGUUAAAUAAUAUAAUUAUACUUUAAUUUUAAAUUAUAAUUAACUAAAAUAUGAAAUAGGAUUAAUAAUUAUUUAUUCUUUUUUUAUAUACAAGGGUAAAAUUGUAAUCUCACAAACUUUACUAUUCAAAAUAAUUUAUAAUAUUCUUACAACUAUCACAUCACUCACAAUUCUCAAUAAACUUUCCUCACACAUCCACUCUAACAUACCUCAAUCCAAACAACCUCAACUUUCUUCAUACUUCCACUCCUACUCCCCACACCCUCUAAUCCAAACACACCCUAAAAGAGUGAUCCAACCCAACCAAACACAAACAUAUAAGUAUUUCAUCUCCUAUCACCAGGUAAUCAAAUAUUAUAUUAAAUAUUUUUUUUUUCAAAAGUAGAAAAUCACAAUAAAAAAAUAUAAUAAUAUUACUCAUAUUGCAUCCAUACUUUUCAUAGUUUUCAGAUAUUAUAUUAAAUAUUUUUUACAAAAUAAAAAUUAUAAUAAAAAUAUGAUAUAUCAAAGAUUAUGUAUUAAAACGAAACACAUUUUUCUAAUGUCAAAUAUAAAGAAAAUAUAAUUACAUAAAUAUUAAGAUAUAGUACCAAAUAUCAAUUAUAUAGAUAUUAAGUUAUUAUAGAAAAAAAGUAAAAAAUUAUAAAUAAUUAAAAUUUGAUGACAGGAGAGAACUCAAUAAAAGAAUAUUCUUGAAACGAAAUAAAACUUAAGAUAGAGAAAUUAAGUUUGUUGUAAACUAAUUAAACUUUCUAGUUUGAGAAUAAAAUAUUUUUUAUAUGAAAAAAUAAAUAAUAAAUAAAAAUAUUAUAAAAAUAUAAAUGAUCAAAUAUUUAUCCAAAAAUUAUUUAAUUCAAUAAGAUUAAUAUUAAUGAAAUACACCGUUUUAUAAAAUUGCACAAAAUAUUUGUGAUAAGAGAACAAAUAUAUUGAGAAUCUGAGUGACUUUAUAAAAGAAAAAAAAUGAAAAUUUGUGGUGUAGCAAAGAUAUUGAAUAUAUUUUUUUUAUAUUACAUAAUAGAUUAUGAAUGUUUUAUUCCAUAAUUUUUAUUAACUUAAAACGCAUUCAAUCAAUAUGAUUUUUUUAUUAAAUUUAUAAUAAAUUCAAAUAAUAUUAAAAAAAAAAAUUUAUCAUUUAUAUUUUACAAAACAGAUUUAUUUAUCAUUUAUAUAUAAUUGCUUAAUAUUUUAUAAAAAAAAUUGCUUUUACCCAAAGUUUAUUAAGAGCAAUAUGAGUAGAAUUGAUUGAUACCAAUAAACAAACUAGAGGACUGCAAAGGAAGGAAAGGUGAUUUUGUUACAUUAACAUCAAUUCAAACUAAACCAUAACAUUUAGAAGGACACCUUUUCCUACAGGGAUUUAAGAAAAAAUGACGUAUUUAACAAACAAAAAUAUAAAAAAAUAUAAAAUAUUAUAAAAUAAUAAUUAAAAUAGAAAAUAGUAUGUUUAUACAAACACAUAUCAAACUUCAUGAUUAUAUCAUAUAUGAUAUAAUUAAUAUCAAUAUCAAUCAUGUUAAUAUUUUGAAUAUGGUAAAACUAAAAAAGAAAACAUUUCGAAAUUAUAAAGACAAAAAUAUUGCUUUGUAAAAUUUAAUACAGCUAUAUCUACUAAAAAGAUUUGUUAACCUUUAUAUCUUUAACACACUAAUGAAACAAAGAAGUAUUGUAAGAUACUAAAAGAGAUUAUUUAAUAUGUUUAUAUUCAUCUAAUAUAUUUAUUUAUCAAUCCAUACUUGUUUAUAUUAUUUUAGUACAUGAAAAUGUUACUGUCUCUAAUUCCUACAGAAACAUAUUUAUCAAUUUUAAAUUUCUAACAUUUUCUAACUAUUUUUAUUAGUUUUUUUAUCUUAAUUAUAGUUAGAUUCAUACUAAAAAUGGAAUAUAAUUAGAUAAAAGUUAAUGUAAUUAAUUUGUUUAAGUACGUAAUUUAACCAGUAAUAUACUUUUUAUUUAAUAUAAAUAAAAUAACUGUAUAUAUUUCUAAAUAUUUGUAUUCAGUAACUUUUUUUAGCAUCCUAAUUUUAUUAACAAUAUUACUUAAACAUCUAUAGUUUAUAUAUAUAUAUAUAUAAAGAUUUUGUCUCUAAAAGAAUCAUAAAAUAGCUAUUAUAUUUCUAUAAUUACUAAUUAUAAUAUAUUAAAAUAAUUUAAAAAUUAAUGUUAAAUAAUCUUGAUUUUGAAUUUUUAAAAUCCAAAAAAUUAUUCAAUCUAUAACUCAACCCCAUAAAACCGGCUCAGGGUUGAGGUUUGCACCCACUUAUAUACAAUGAAAGGCUCUAAUCUCUAGUCGAUGUAGGAUCGCCAACACACCCCCCUCACGCCGAGACUGCCAACUCGUGCGUGGGACUAUAUAUUAUGGGUGGUCCGAUAGCGGCCUGAUAGCAGGUGGCCUGAUAAGCCCAACAAACACUCGCUAGGAUAGGCUCGAAAUGGCUCUGAUACCAUAUUAAGAAGUGGUCUUUAAGCCUAACUCAACCCCAUAAAACCGGCUCAUAGGGUUGAGGUUUGCACCCACUUAUAUACAAUGAAAGGCUCUAAUCUCUAGUCGAUGUGGGAUCUCCAAGAUAGAUCUAUCAUCUAAUUUUUUUCCUAUGUGCAGUAAUGGUACUAGCAUAACAGAGACAACCAAACACNNNNNNNNNNNNNNNNNNNNNNNNNNNNNNNNNNNNNNNNNNNNNNNNNNNNNNNNNNNNNNNNNNNNNNNNNNNNNNNNNNNNNNNNNNNNNNNNNNNNNNNNNNNNNNNNNNNNNNNNNNNNNNNNNNNNNNNNNNNNNNNNNNNNNNNNNNNNNNNNNNNNNNNNNNNNNNNNNNNNNNNNNNNNNNNNNNNNNNNNNNNNNNNNNNNNNNNNNNNNNNNNNNNNNNNNNNNNNNNNNNNNNNNNNNNNNNNNNNNNNNNNNNNNNNNNNNNNNNNNNNNNNNNNNNNNNNNNNNNNNNNNNNNNNNNNNNNNNNNNNNNNNNNNNNNNNNNNNNNNNNNNNNNNNNNNNNNNNNNNNNNNNNNNNNNNNNNNNNNNGCAGCAGAAUAACCCAAGUAUAACGCGAGUAAUCAUCAACAAUAGUCAAGAAAUAACGAAAACCUUGCAUAGAAAUUAUGGAACAUGGUCCCCAAAUAUCAAAGUGUAUAAGAUCAAAAAUAGUAGAGGUAACAGUAUUACUUAAAGUGAAAGGAAGUUUUCUCUGUUUUGUACGACUACAAGUGUCACAUACAUGAUGAGUAUUAACAGUAAUAAAAGAGUAUUGUUUGCUUAAGACAUGUAAUCUUUCAUGUGAAGGGUGUCCUAGUCUAUAAUGCCAUAGUGUUUUGUCUGUGAUAUUACAAUUAAUAAAAGGAGCAAAACAAUGCGGUUUAGAAUUACUAGAAGCAGGCAAGGUAGUGACAAGGUACAAGCCAGCGGUGGCUUUAACUGUACCAAUCCUCUCUUGAGUGAGAUUGUCUUGUAUAAUGCAGUGGGUUGAAGUGAAAGUUAAAGUGCAUUUAAGUUGGUGUGAGUUUAAAAACAGAUAUUAAGUUUAAUUGAAAAUGAGGCACGUAUAACACAUCAGACAAAUAAAACUGAUCAGAAAAACGUAUUAAACCAGAAUAUGUGGCAUAAACAAUUUGGCCAUUUGGAAGACUAAUUAAGACAGGUUUAAUUUUAGUNNNNNNNNNNNNNNNNNNNNNNNNNNNNNNNNNNNNNNNNNNNNNNNNNNNNNNNNNNNNNNNNNNNNNNNNNNNNNNNNNNNNNNNNNNNNNNNNNNNNAUAGUGAAUUGGCACUGUUGUGAUGUAAGUUGAAUCCCCUUUACAUCCUGUUCUUUAGGAAAAAGCUCAGAAAAAGUGUCAGUAGUAAUCAUAUUAUUGGCUUGGGAUGUCCAAUUGGUGAAUUUGUAGCCAGGAGGGAACCCAUGCUUUUUAUAACAGGUGUCAAUAGUGUGGCCAAGACGAUUACAAAAAGUGCAGACUUUUCUAGUAAAAGAAAACUUUGAGGUUUUAACAUUACUAGAAGGAAAACCCACUUUGCGAAAACAAACAGCCUCAGUAUGACCAUAUUUACCACAAAAAUUGCAUGUAAUAGUGUGACUACUAUUAAGACUAUGAAGACUAGGGUUUUUCAUUAAACAUUGCCUAAAAGAUUUUUAAAACCAAUCAAGAUUUUGAAAGAGAACAGAAAAAAAAAUAAAAAAAUAACCAAGAACAGCAAAAAGGGAAAUAAAAAUCAGAGAGAAACGCAGCAGAACUCUUCAUUCGAAGAGCUUUGAUACCAUAUUACAGUAAAUCGUAAUGAAGAAAUAAAGGUUUUGAUGAACCCUAAUUGUAGAGAAAAAUAAAUAUAAAAGAAACUUUUAUUCACUUGUAUAGUAGAGAGUAAAAUACAUGGUGUAUAUAUAAGAAAAAGAUUAAGACCUAGGUGAAAUAGAAAAGGAAAGUUGGGUCAAACAAACAAAGCCCAAUAAUUUAAAAUAGAAAAUUAAAUAUAUUAACACUAUAUUUAAUCCAUCUAGUUAAAUGAAUUAGAUUUAAAAUCCAAAAGUAUAGAUUUAAAUUUGAAAUAAAUCCAUUUAAAUAGACUUAAAAUGAUAUGGAUUUAAAUAAUUAUGAAUUGGAUUUGAUAAUAUGAUUUUUUUUUUUGUCAUGAGCAUAUAAAGGAAAACAUUACUAAACUAUGAGCAAAUUCUUCGUGCACCUCUCUGUGUUCCUUCUUCUAACACUCCAAACUUCUAAAAUUAUCAAAAUUACUAUUAUCGAUUGGUUCUUUUUAAAUUAAAUUUUGAGUUGUAUAAUCCAAAAUACAUUUUUUCUAUCAUAGAUGAUACGAUCUGAAAUAUAAAAUUUGUAUUUCAAAUUAUGUAAUACAGAAUGCAAAAAAUCACAAAUAUUAACUUAUUGAUUAUGUAAUCAAUGAAGUCUUCAAAUUCCACACUUUGAAAUUAAAAAAAAACAUGAAUAAAAUAUAGGAGUUGUAUUAUACGUGAUUGAGAAGUAUUAGGCACAACCGAGUACAUAUCGUACUCUUUUAUCACUUAAAUAUGGAUUUGUAUGGAAUGUUAAACUAAUACAAAUAUUAACUAUGAUAAUCAUGUUAAUUUAAGUCUACCAUUAUAAUGGUUCAACAUAUCUAUAUAAAUCUAUAUAAAUAGAUUGACUCAUAUUAAGACAUGAGAAGUAAGACUUAUCCUUCUAUAUAAAAAAUUAUAUAUAAACAACUUAUAGUAAUUUUGAUAUCUUCAAAAGUAUAAGAUCUACAAAAUAAUUUGCCUAAACUAGUAACCAAAAUGUAUGAGACCCUAUAAUCAUCAAUGAAAUUUAAGGGAUGCAGACUUCAAAAGAUGCAACGCUUACAAUUCAAAUCUAUAUAUAUUUAUAUGAGUUAAUGCUACUAAUAAUUUUAAAAAAAUUGUAACAAUUAUUUGUGUUUGAUAACAAAAGUAAGAGAAAAAUACAUCACUCUUACUUUCUCUCAAAUUAAAAUAAAAUUCUAGUAUGUUUAUUUUUUUAAUAAACUUUUAAUUUAUUUAAAAAAUGUAAUAUUAUUCUAUUUUUCAUAUUACAUGAAUUGUUUUUUAAAUUUAAAUACAUUAAAAUUGUACUCAAAAUAAGAAAGAUAAUCUAAUAGUGGAAGAAAACGUAAGUGUAGCUUGAAACUGUAACACCCCGAAAAUGCAUCUAACUAUUUAAAUACACGUUCCACAUAUUCCUAUACAAACUUAAAUUUUUUCAAAAUAUUUUUAUUACAAGAUUAUGACUUAUAGAAAUAUAAAUAUUUACAUAUUCAUAGCUCAAAAUAAAACUUUGAAACCCUUAAGACUCUCCUGCACUUGUAUGGUCAUCUGCUCGUGUACAUAGUACAGUCAUCGCAGUUCAAACACAACACGAAAAGCAAGGGUAAGCUAAUGCAAAGAAAAUUCAUAACAUAAUUCAUGGAAAUAGAACCAAUUUAGACUAAUAAUUUAUAAACAUUUCUCUAAAUGAUUUCAUGUAAAAUUUCAAUACCAAUUCCAUCAAUCAUAUAGACCACACAUGGAUAUAUUUUCAAUCACAAUUAUUGGAUUUCAUUUCAAUCCCACUUCGUCUUUCCGGCGGAAGACUCAUUAAGUAUGUCCCUACUAGAUAUUAACACCUGAUCCAAAGAUUACAAACGAAUCCAAUAGAAAGGAUCAAGAUAAGUUCAAACAUCCAAUACCGAGUGUCUACAGCGGGACACGGUGUGUAUGAACUCUCUCUCAGCUUCUCACCACCUAAUAUCUUAGUCUACAUGACUUAGAUCAUCAGUGAAGCUAGAGGAUCUCCGUUAAACAUAGGCUUUUCAUACUUAAUGUACCAUCAAAUAACAACUCAUACAUUAUCCCAAAUGUAUGACAUCAAUUUCAUACAAUUUUCAUCAUUCAUGUAUAAUACAUAUCAUUCAAUCAGAACAUUUUACAAAUUUAUACCAUUUAAGAACUUUUCCAACAUCAAAACAAUAUUUAACUUUCAAACUAUCAAAAUAUAAUAUUUAUAAAGUUUAAAUAAUAUAUAAACAAACACACAAUAUAUAAACAAAUAACAUUUCUGCAAGAGAAAUUGAAUAUUGGGACCACGUUCCUUCCACAUUCAGAUCUUCUAUCCUAGAGUGCUAUUAAAAAUUAAAUUUAGCUUCCCUUACCUUAAUUGUUUACUUUUCAAGCAACUUCUAGAAUUUUAUUCCCACAAUCUGGAUAAGUUUCAAGAUUUACGGGCUUAAUGCAAGUUAUCCAAACAGAACAAAAAUUCAGUAUAUAGUAGAAUAAGUUGAGAGAAUUAAACUUCUCAACUUACUCCACCAAGAUUGAUGACUAGAUCGUAAGGAAAAAAGAGAACAAAGAAUCUUUAGAGCAAAAAUGAACUUACUCUGUUUGAAAAUCUGAUCGAGUGGAAAUGUUUCUCUAGAACGUGGUACGAUCAGAUUCUAAAAUAAAUGAAGAUAUGGAGAGAAAAAUUAAGAGAGAAGGAAGAGAUUUAAAAAGAGAAAGAGAGAGAAAUAAAAGAGAUAGUGUGGGGGUAAGGAGGUGUUGUGGUUUUUUUUUAAACGCUGUGACACAAACAACCUCAAAAUUAUUAUUGUAAUUUAUUCCAAAAUUAAUACAUAAAAUAUAUUUAUAAUAUUAUAAAAACAAUUAUUACUCUGAGAUGUUCUUCCAUUUAUUAAUUUUUGUGGAACCAUUAUGCCGUGUCAUCAAUCUGGCAAGUAAAUUUCAGGGACUUUUCUUUGAUCAUACCUUAUGCUUCCAUCAAAUAUAAGAACUUCUGCCAUGUCAUCAAUCCGUGAAGACUAAACCUCACCAAUUAAAUUCCACUAACUUUUCUUAUUUCGACCAUUCCUCUCCGCUGCAUUCAAAUAAAAUCAACGAGGAUGCACUUUCCAUUCACAUAAUUUGUUUUUAAGGGAAAAAAUAAAACAAAAAUAAUAAUAUUUUUUAAAAUUGUUAUAAUAUAUAUUUGCUUAAUUUGUAAUUAAUUAAUUGUUUUUUUAUUUUUCACUUUAUAUUUAUAUAUAUGUAUAUAUGUAUAUAUAUUACUUUUUUUUUCAUAUUUGUUUCCUUUCACUAAUGUAAAUUGUGUUACAGGAAACGACAACUUCGUGAUUGAAAUAUUAUUUUUGGUAAUAUAUUACAAUUAACUUUGAAAAAAAUAAAAAAUCAUACAAAAUUUGAUAAAAAAAGUAUUUAAAUAUCUAUAAUUUUAAAUAUUUGAUAAUUUUUUUAUAUUAGAUAUCAUUAUUAUUUUUAUUUUUAUUUUUUGUAAUUGAUAUAAUUAUUAUAAUUUUUUAUUAUUACUAUUAUUUAUACUUAUAUUUUUAUAAUAACUAUUAAUUAUUAUAAUUAAUUAAUUAUUAAUUAUUAUAUUUUUUAAAUACUAAUUUAUUUAAAAUCUAAUAUAUUUUUUUAAUUUUUUAACAUAAAUUAUUUAAUUAUGUAAUUUUAUUUUAAAUAAAAAUAAAUAAUAAUUUAAGUUUAAAAUAUAAAAAGAUAUCAGAGUAAAUUAUAAAUAAUUAAUUACAUGAAUAUAUAUAUAUAUGUAUAUAUAGCUUAUUUUCCCAAAUCUCUUCUAAAAAAAUUGAAAUUAAAAAUGAUUUUAUUUUUUGUGAUUUUUAUAUUUUAUUGGCUUGAUUGUGUUUUUUUGUCACAGUAAAAGCUUUCAUUUAUAUAUCGUAAGAGUUUUCAUGAAACAUCCAAUUCAAAUCUAUAUAUAUAUUUGAAUUAGAUUUUAAAUCAAAAUCUAUAUUCUUUAUAAAAAAAUAUUUAUAUAAAUCUAAAUCCAAAUAUUUGGAUUGAAUAUUAGAUGUAAAUUCAUAUUUUUAUAUAAAAGUAAUUUAAAUUUUUAUAAAUUUAAUUCAAAUUCAUAUUUUUAUAAAAAAAAAUUAAAAAUAAAUUUAUGUUUUUUAAAAAAUUAACAUAAUAUUAAUAUAGUAAUUGUUCGUGCUAAGGAGAUGAGACCUAUAGAACUAUUGUAUAGAACUAUUGAAGGUUUCGUAUUUCUCCUUUCCUCGAACAGCUUGCUAGGGCUUUGAUGUGAUCAUUCUGGUUGUCACGCUACUCCUUCGACUCUUAGUUUCAGAUGAAUGCCAAAUGGGAGAGGUACCUGCAGAAGACACUCCGACGCUCAAAUCAGUAAAGAGGGUAUUCGACACUCGGGUGUGUACAGUGAUAAUGACGUACCUUAUUCCUUAGAAUAUGUGUUAUUUAUAUUAUUUUAAUGAGUUUAUCUUAUUAAGCCUGAUAGUGGAAUGGAAUGGAUCAUACUUAUGAUUGUAUUACUUAAUUCUUAAUGGUAGUUUAACUUCAGUGACAUUGGUUUGAGCGUUAAUGAUUAUAUGUGUCGGUCGAACCGUUCGUAGAGAUCUCAGUCAUCUCGAUCUUGUCCCAUACCAGUACAAUAAUAUGUAAAAAAAUAUAUUAUAUAAAUAGUAAGAAGAUAUAAUAAAAGUAUAGUUUAAUAAUACUAAAAAGUAAUUAUUGAACUUCAAUUAACCGAGCAAACCAAGAGCAAAGAAAACACAUUCAUUUACAUUAUAAACAAACAAAGUGCCAGUUUCUAAUUUUAUCUUUCACAAUGAUAAUAUUUUAUUACUCAUUAAACAAAAAUUCAUUCUUUUAACAACUAAAAAUAAUAAAUAUUUACUUAACAAUUCAAGAUAAUAAAAUUUUAAUUAUAUUUAUUUUACUUUUUUAGAUUGCAACUUUUUGUAAGUGUUAAAGUAUGUAUUAUUUUGGUGCGAGAUUUAGAAUGAUUGAUAUGUCUUAACCGAAUACCCAAUUUCCUAUGGUCAUAGAAGUAACAACAGAGCCGUUCAUUUAUUUUUUGUACAUUAAAAUUUUGAAAUAUCAGCCGAAAAAAUGAGAAAUGUAGCUGCAUAGGUAAUGACAUUGGCAUAGCGAUUGUGGGGGAAGAAUUAAAUUUAAAUUGAAAAUUUUGAAUUUUCUAAUUUUUAAAAUUUAUUUAUGUAAAAUGAAAAUCUGAUUUAGAAAAUACAUAAAAUAUGAAUCAAAAUAAAAAAUAGAUUUAAAUAAAUGGAUUUGAUCAAUGUAAAAAUGGAGAAAUUUUAAUUAAUUGGACUUUUUUUUCAUCUCUAAUCAUCACAAUUUGUUUUUAAGUUUUUCUUCUUCAUUUUUACUACGUGUUGUGAAAUUGAUGAAAAACACUAUUCUUUUAUAAAGUGUUCUUUAUGAAUUAUUCUCCUCUUGUGAUUAAUGAUGAAGAAAAUUUGAGGAGAAGAAGCAUUAAAAAAUCUUCAAAAGCAAUUUCCAUGUAUUGAAGUGGAGUUAUGUAUUUGGAAGAGUGAGAUGUAUGGCCAAAUCAAUAGAACAUAAUCUAAACUAAGUCUUGAAGAAGACUAAUAUAGGGAGAACUUAGAACAGUAUAAUGACAAAAAAUUGACAAUCUUUCAUUACUAUUUUCAAGUUAAAAAAAUUACAAGAAAGAUGCAUUCAUAUUAAUAAGAGACUUGUCCUAAAAACUCUUCAAUGACAAUGUGAUAAAUGAUGUCACAUGUUCUAUGCUCAUGAUCCUCUCAAAUGAGAGGUUAACAAAUAUCACAUCUUAAUUAUCCCGAGUCAUGUAGACAUUCAUGACACGCACAUUCUUCCCAUAUUAAGUGAUGAAUCACUUUACAAUAUGCACUCACGCUAUUAGUAUACAUACCCAUUCUUCUAUUAACCAAAAUACAAGACUAAAAAAUAAACCAAGGUCCAAUACAUGAUCCAAAUAAAAUGUCAUAAUAUAUUUUUUACAAAUUAUUUAAACUAAAGUUUGGCUUAAAAAAUGUUUGACUUGGUCUUACUCAAUUGAGUCCUAAGCUUAUUCUAGUCCUCUAACCAAAAAUAUAAUAUUCUUUCAUGGUGUGAAUGUCUUAUUUGGUAUGCUCCAUACAUUUAUUUCUCAUAGAGUUAUUAUAUUUUUUUUGGGCCUACAAAAGAUAAACAAAAGCUCAAUUAGGUCAAUUUAUGUUAAUAAGCCUCUGAACAAAACUUUAUGUAUUUAUCUUCCUUAUUCUUUGAAUGUUGUGGCUGGAUACUGUUAUUAACUAUCGUAAAUACAACUAGUGCAUAUUCACACUCCAAAUGAGAUGAAAUCAAUUUGAAAUAGAAAUGAGACAAAAUCAAUUUGAAAUAGAAAGAUUGAUGUAUAUCAUAUUAAUUCUCUUCUAACAAAGUGAAUUAAAUCAUAAUAUUUAAUUUUUUAAAAUAUUUUUUCACUGUUAGCUAUAAAAUAAGGUUACAAAUUUUAUUUUAAGUUCAACAAUUAUUUAGAAAAAGAUUGUUGUAACUAAGGAAUUAGAUAGGAUAAAAUAAAAAAUUGAUUUUCAAUAUUUUAACUAUAAAAGUUUUUUGGUUUUGUGGAUUUUAUACAUCUUUUAAAUUAAAACAGAUUACACUUAAUUAUUCGUAAUAAAAUAUUAAUAAAUACGAACCAUUUCAUUAUGUUUGAAGUUUAUGUCUUAAAGAGAAUAAUUAUGAAACUGCUCCAUUGUUAUUAAUUUUUUUAUGAUUUAUAAUAUGUAUAAAUUAUUCUAUUUUACUACUUAUAUGUAUUUAGUAUUUCGAUAAGCUAUGAUCUUUAAAAUAUGAAUAAUUUUUUUUUAUUAAAUAAGAUGAAAAAAAUGAAAAUUUCAAUUUGAAAUUCAGUUUUAUUAUCCAAAAUUAGUAAACUGAUACAAUUGAAUAUAAAUUAGUAAACUGAUACAAUUUAAUUAGUUUUUUAAAUAUAUUAAAUUAGCUAUUUUUUUUUAUUAAAUUAACUCAAUAUAAAUUAUAAUAUUUCUUUUGCAUAGUGAUACCUAACACGAAAACUUUAUAAAAAAUUAUAAUAUUUUAUCAAUACAAAAUGUCUUCGGCAGUCAUGCUGGGACUAAUUAGCAAUAUAAAAAAAAGUUAACAAUUUAAAAGCAACUAGAAAUACUAUGAUUUUUAAUAAAAAUUGGUGGAAAAAAUAGUAUAAUUGAGUUCUAAACUUGAUUUAAAUAGUCGUUUUAGAAAUAACCAAAAUACGUAAAUAUAAAAGUUUAAUACUGUCAUUGUGAUGAGAAGAAAUUUAUCCCAAAUAGUCACCAAAUUUGUAUAUUUGGCAUGGAACUUGUCCAUCUUAUUCGAAGUUUCUACAAAUUAAAAAAAAUAAAAAUUGUUAGUUUUAAUUUUUUUAUUUUAUUAUAUAUAACGAAUUAUAUGAAAUUUUCUGCACAUAUUUUUUUAAUAUGAUAUUUUCUUACUUUUAUUAUUAUAAAAUAAUUUUAACUAUAUCUAUCACAUUCCAAUAUUUGAAAAACUUUCUAUUGAAAAUUGAAAUAUAUAUAACUCAAUCCAUGAUAAUUUGAUUUGAUUUAAAUUUGAAAUUUAAAACAUGCAAACGGGCCGCCACGUACCCGGAAAAAAACGACGUCGUCAAAUAUAAAACACAAAUUAUUUUAAAAUUAAGAAACACUAACACGAGAUUCGGAAAUCUCCCUCCAAAACAACACACCAUUCUGCCACGUCAUUGAUCCGCGUAAUGCAAACCGAACCAAUCACCUUUCAUCAAACAUUUCUAUAUAAACCACUCUACACCGCUUCUAUUGAUCACAUCACUCAAUCUUUGUAUUCUCAUCACUUUCGGAAAUCCCUCAAAUAAUUUUCAAUCAAUCCAUGGCGAAGGGCGAUAAAAAACCGGCAGAGAAAAAGCCAGCAGAGAAGGCUCCGGCGGAGAAAACAAAGGCAGAGAAGAAGAUCCCAAAGGAUGCUACCUCUGGUGACAAAAAGAAGAAGAGGAAGGCCAAGAGUGUGGAGACCUACAAGAUCUAUAUCUUCAAGGUUCUCAAACAGGUCCACCCUGACAUAGGGAUCUCCAGCAAGGCAAUGGGGAUCAUGAACAGCUUCAUCAAUGACAUCUUUGAGAAGCUCGCCCAGGAAUCAUCCAGACUCGCCCGCUACAACA
RNAcentral lists this long non-coding RNA (44530 nucleotides) under Phaseolus vulgaris (common bean). Its description in RNAcentral is "long non-coding RNA (PVUL_LNC002289)". Lineage: Eukaryota; Viridiplantae; Streptophyta; Magnoliopsida; Fabales; Fabaceae. The record is from RNAcentral.